This 48812-nucleotide long non-coding RNA is filed under the name Triticum aestivum (bread wheat). Its description in RNAcentral is "long non-coding RNA (TAES_LNC003489)". The record is from RNAcentral. Lineage: Eukaryota; Viridiplantae; Streptophyta; Magnoliopsida; Poales; Poaceae.
GGCGACAUCGGGUCCACUAGCCCUGUAUACGUUAGCGUAAACGACGUACGUCAGGCUCUGCUUCUCUCACACUGGAACAAAUUUCUCUCUUUGAAAGGCACUGCGGAACAGAGGACUUACCGAACGGGGAGAUGUCAAAUCCAGCGCGACGAGGGCGGCGCUGGACUGCGUUGCCCUGCUGGUUUCCGGCGUUCUGGGCCUGGCUGACUUGGACGUCGACGGAGUUGUCCCUGUUCUCCUGCGCCGCGGAGGCCACGGAGAGCGGGCGGGUUCUCCCGCCGGUCGAGAGCGGCGCUGGCCUCGCGGCCCUCCAGGCACGGAUGGGCAGGCGCGCGGCCGGGGAGAGGCGGCUGACGAGAGCGAAGGGGGCGUUCGCGUCAGCCAUUGCACCAGAUAGGGAGCUUUAAAAGUCGCUCGAGAAUUGAAACGAGAGAGUGUCGAUGAGAUCGUUGAAACUCGGAAGCCGAUGUUCUACGGACUGCAGCUAAGUGGUUCUUAUCUUGCUCGCUUGUUCGGUGGGAGAUGGCGAGUUUGCCGCGCCCAUUUAUAGAGCGGAGGUGAUUUCAUGCCAUGAUCGUGGAACGACGGGGAAAGAUGUUGAAGCUUCGGGACAACGCACACCGCUCGGCGUACCUGGUUGGAGAGGCUCGGGUGUUCUUCAGGUCUGUGGGGUUCUCUCGAUAAUUCUCGAACACUUUCUCGGCACUUCGCGGUCAGGAGGCCCAACAUGAAAAUAUAUUUCAGAUCGCGAAGCCGAGGCCCAUCUCGUGAUGUGACCUUUUCCCUGUUUCUUCUGUUCUUCUUUUAUAGUAUAGUAGCAAAAAUGCCCAUGCGGUGCAACGUGAGAAAACUAAUAAUAUCACACACAUCUGAAAGUAUGACUCAAAGACUCCACCUCGCAUGCCGUGCAAGUCCAAGUCCUCUAUUUCAACACGGCAUUCAUCUAUCGCCGCUUUUCUUAAUUUUCGCCCUCACUGACGGUGUCCCCAGUGUCCACCUGAUCAUAAUGUAUGUAGACAUGAUCAAUGCAGAGGCGAUUAGCCUGACCAUCACAUGACACACCUGUCAUUGAAUCGCACCAACCCAAGGGAUUAAACUGCGCCAAUGCAAGGGAAUGUUUUAACUAAUCUCUUGAGCUGGGGUUGAGGGCUAGCUGCCCUCUGUGCCCCUCGGGCACAUGCUCCAUACAAUGUCUCCUGCAUAACCCUCAUGCUUCGUUAUGGAGCAAAUGUCUGUGGUCCUGUACGAAGGUUGUCCAGAUCGAGGAACUGGGUUACGGUCCAAGUACUAAUGUAAAAAACGAUUAGUCGCUCUGUGAUAGGGUUCUUUAGGAGGUCACUUCAGAAGAUAAUGUGCGGCUAACGACAAUGUUGGACACUUACCUACUACCACAUGAAGCGCUAACUCGGUAGCAUGCCAGCCGGUUGCCGCCAAGGCAACUCGCCUAUAACUCUAAGCAACUAAUAUCAAUUGACGAUUCUAAGGGAUGCCCCCAUUCCCAUAACAUGUGUCGCUUCGCUGCAUGCGCCCACUGCCACGGCAAGAUUUAUCAUUUACUAGUUGUGUGAAAAUCGUGUUUGCCUGUCCUGAUUGGCUCUACCAAAUCGGCAGUUGCCUAAUUCUAUCUUCUGGCUCUGCCACAAAUUUUCAAUAUUUCAGUCACUGUUAAUUAUUACAUUUGGUAAUGUAAAAAGAACAUCAAGUAACAAGCGACAAACAACAUCAAGUAAUAAUGAUCGGUGUUCAUUGAAAAAAAAUCAGUUAGCCAUCCAACAGAACUCAGUGCAAUCUUUUUUUAUAGUGUUUGUGCGAACCAAUUGAUUUUUAUUUGACAUCAACCGCACAGCGACCCGUCUCGCUGGAACAUGACGGUGCUCUAGACUCGCACACGCGUCAACUGGCUGCUGGACCCACCGCCACCCACCGGCGAGAGGUAGCAACAGCAAGCCCUGCUUAUCCUCCUUUGCUCUCUCCAUCGACCUCAUAUCACCACCCAACUCUCCUCUUCCUGUCUAUCCCGCUGUCACGCCCAAUAUGUAACCCUAUCCUAAAGGAACUAAGGUCCCACCAAGGAUAGAAGCGCAUAUUGGAGACGCUUUUGCAAGGUGGAUAUCAUUCAUCGUACCAUUACAUAAUAGUUAGGGAUACAUACAAGAGGCAUAUGAUGCCACACGAAUACAACGUCAUCAUACAUAAGAGCGACAUCCGACUGUUGAGGAACGUAGUAAUUUUAAAAAAAUUCCUACGCACACACAAGAUCAUGGUGAUGCAUAGCAACGAGAGGAGAGAGUGUGUCCACGUACCCUCGUAGACCGAAAGCGGAAGCGUUAGCACAACGCGGUUGAUGUAGUCGUACGUCUUCACGAUCCGACCGAUCAAGUACCAAACGCACGGCACCUCCGAGUUCAGCACACGUUCAACUCGAUGACGUCCCUCGAACUCCGAUCCAGCCGAGCUUUGAGGGAGAGUUCCGUCAGCACAACGGCGUGGUGACGAUGAUGAUGUUCUACCGACGCAGGGCUUCACCUAAGCACCACUACGGUAUUAUCAAGGUGGAAUGUGGUGGCGGUGGGCACCGCACACGGCUAAGAGAUCUAUGAUCAAUUGUUGUGUCUAGAGGUGCCCCCUGCCCCUGUAUAUAAAGGAGGGAGGGAGAGGCCGACCCUAGAGGGAGGGCGCCAAGUGUGAGGAGUCCUACUAGGACUCCCAAGUCCUAGUAGGAUUCCCCUCUCCUUUCCGGAGUAGGAGAGAAGGAAAGAGGGGGAGAGGGAGAAGGAAAAGGGGGAUGCACCCCUUGUACAAUUCGAACCUGAGGGGGGGGCUCCUUCCUUUUGGCCUCUCUCCUCUAUUCCCGUAUGGCCCAAUAAGGCUGAGGGAGUUCCGGAUUAGGGGGUGUCCGGAUAGCCGAACUAUCAUCAUCGACCAGACUCCAAGACUAUGAAGAUACAAGAUUGAAGACUUCGUCCCGUGUUCGGAUGGGACUUUCCUUGGCGUGGAAGGCAAGCUUGGCGAUACGGAUAUGUAGAUCUCCUACCAUUGUAACCGACUCUGUGUAACCCUAGCCCUCUCCGGUGUCUAUAUAAACCGGAUGGCUUUAGUCCAUAGGACGAACAACAAUCAUACCAUAGGCUAGCUUCUAGGGUUUAGCCUCCUUGAUCUCAUGGUAGAUCCACUCUUGUAACACACAUCAUCAAUAUUAAUCAAGCAGGACGUAGGGUUUUACCUCCAUCAAGAGGGCCCGAACCUGGGUAAAACAUCGUGUCCCUUGCCUCCUGUUACCAUCCGCCUAGACGCACAGUUCGGGACCCCCUACCCAAGAUCCGCCGGUUUUGACACUGACAUUGGUGCUUUCAUUGAGAGUUCCUCUGUGUCGUCACCGAUAGGCUCGAUGGCUUCUUCAAUCAUCGUCAAUGACGCAGUCCAGGGUGAGACCUUCCUCCCCGGACAGAUCCUCGUAUUCGGCGGCUUCGCACUGCGGGCCAAUUCGCUUGGCCAACUGGAGCAGAUCGAAAGCUACGCCCCUGGCCGUCAGGUCAGAUUCGGAAGUUUGAACUUCACGGCUGACAUCCGCGGGGACUUGAUCCUCGAUGGAUUCGAGCCACAGCCGAGCGUGCCGCACUGUCACGGCGAGCAUGAUUUAGCUCUGCAGCCGGACAGUACCCUGGAGGCCGCACUCGAACCCGCUCCGAUCUUCAAUUCGAAGCCGGCUGCGCAGGUCGAGGACGGAUGGCUAGACACCGCCUCGGGGGCUGCAACCUCUACGGCGAUAAAGCCGAACACUGACCUUGUCCCUCAUGAAGCUCGUGACUCCGAGGUGCCGGACUCCUUGCCGGACUCCGAACCUCCCGCGCCCCCUCCGAUCGGAUCUGAUUGGGCGCCGAUCAUGGAGUUCACCGCAGCGGACAUCUUUCAACACUCACCUUUCGGCAACAUCUUGAGUUCGCUAAAGUAUCUCUCGUUAUCAGGAGAGCCCUGGCCGGACUGCGGUCAGGACGGUUAGGAUGCGGACGACGAAGAAAUUCAAAGCCCACCCACCACCCACUUGGUAGCCACUGUCGACGAUCUAACCGACAUGCUAGACUACGACUCCGAAGACAUUGACGGUAUGGACGACGAUGCUGGAGACGACCAAGAACCAGCGCCGACCGGGCACUGGAAAGCCACCUCAUCAUAUGACAUAUACAUGGUGGAUAUCCCAAAGGAUGGGAAUGGCGAAGGAACAGCGGAGGAUGACCCCUCCAAGAAACAGCCCAAGCGUCGGCGUCAGGGGCGCCGCUCUAAAUCCCGCCACAGCAAGAAUGAAGAUUCCGGCACCGGAGAUAAUAAUACACCGGACAGUGCCGAAGACAACCCACUCUAGCAAGAUCCAGCGCAGGAGGACGGAGACGCCAGCCCUCAUGAGAGAGCGGCAGAAGAAGAGGUAGAGGAUUAUAUGCCUCCCUCCGGAGACGAGGCAAGCAUCGACGAUGAUGAAUUUGUCGUGCCUAAGGAUCCCGUCGAACAAGAGCGUUUUAAACGCAGGCUUAUGGCCACGGCGAACAGCCUCAAAAAAAAGCAGCAACAGCUUAGAGCUGAUCAAGAUCUGCUAGCCAACAGAUGGACUGAAGUCCUCGCGGCCGAAGAGCAUGAGCUCGAACGCCCCUCCAAAAGCUACCUUAAACGCAAGCUGCUCCCCCGAUUAGAGGAGGAGGUGUAUGAACCCGCAUCACCAGGAGACAAUAAGGCUGACCGACCACCCCGUGGUCGCGACAGAGAGGCCCCUAGGCCCUUCACUAGAGUACCCCGACAUCGCUCGAAGAGCACAAAGCCACAGGGGAACGUUCCGGACUUGCGAGAUAUAUUGGAGGAUAAGGCAAGACAAUCAAGAUCGAUCUAUGGAUCGCGUGGGCACCCCAUGAUACGUGACGACAACCGUCGCGCCGGACACAGUAAGUCCGGCCGGGCCGAACAAAACAGACAAAGCUCUUUUGAGCUCCGUCGUGAUAUCGCCCAGUACAGAGGCGCCGCACACCCACUAUGCUUCACAGAUGAAGUAAUGGAUCAUCAAAUCCCCGAAGGGUUUAAACCCGUGAAUAUUGAAUCUUACGAUGGCACAACAGACCCCGCGGUUUGGAUCGAAGACUAUCUCCUUCACAUCCACAUGGCCCGCGGUGACGAUCUUCACACCAUCAAAUAUCUCCCCCUCAAGCUUAAAGGACCAGCCCGGCAUUGGCUUAACAGCUUGCCAGCAGAGUCACUUAGGAGUUGGGAAGACCUGGAAGCCGCAUUCCUCGAUAACUUCCAAGGUACGUAUGUGCGACCACCAGACGCUGAUGACCUAAGCCACAUAAUUCAGCAGCCAGACGAAUCGUCCAGACAAUUCUGGACACGAUUCUUAACCAAGAAAAACCAAAUCAUCGACUGUCCGGAUGCGGAGGCCCUCGCGGCCUUCAAGCAUAAUAUCCACAACGAGUGGCUUGCCCGGCACCUGGGACAGGAAAAGCCGAAAUCCAUGGCAGCCCUCCCAUCACUCAUGACCCGCUUCUGCGCGGGUGAGGACAGCUGGCUAGCACGCAGCAACAACCUCAGCAAAAAUUCUGGCAGUCCGGAUAUCAAGGACCGUAAUGGCAGGUCGCGUCAUAACAAAAACAAAUGCCGCAUUAACGGCGACAAUAGUGAGGAUACGACAGUCAAUGCCGGAUUCAGAGGCUCUAAACCCGGUCAGCGGAAAAAGCCAUUCAAAAGAACUACUCCGGGUCCGUCCAAUUUGGACCGAAUACUCGUCCGCUUGUGCCAGAUACACGGCACCCCCGAAAAGCCAGCUAACCACACCAACAGGGACUAUUGGGUAUUCAAGCAGGCAGGCAAGUUAAUUGCCGAAAACAAUGACAAGGGGCUGCACAGCGAUGACGAGGAAGAGACCCGACCGCCGAACAAUAGAGGACAGAAGGGUUUCCCCCCACAGGUGCGGACGGUGAACAUGAUGUACGCAACACACAUACCCAAAAGGGAGCGGAAGCAUGCACUCAGGGAUGUAUACGCGAUGGAGCCAGUUGCCCCGAAGUUCAAUCCAUGGUCCUCCUGCCCGAUCACUUUUGACCGAAGGGACCACCCCCCCAACAGCCGCCAUGGUGGAUUCGCCGCAUUGGUCUUAGACCCAAUCAUCGAUGGAUUUCACCUCACCAGAGUCCUGAUGGACGGCGGCAGCAGCCUGAACCUGCUUUAUCAGGAUACAGUGCGCAAAAUGGGCAUAGACCCCUCAAGGAUUAAACCUACCAAGACGACCUUUAAAGGAGGCAUACCAGGUGUAGAAGCCAAUUGUACAGGCUCAGUUACACUAGAAGUGGUCUUUGGAUCCCCGGAUAACUUCCGAAGCGAGGAGUUAAUCUUCGACAUAGUUCCGUUCCGCAGCGGCUAUCAUGCCCUGCUCGGACGUACCGCGUUUGCAAAGUUCAACGCGGUGCCGCACUACGCAUACCUCAAGCUCAAGAUGCCAGGCCCUCGAGGAGUCAUCACGGUCAACGGAAACACUGAACGUUCUCUCCGCACGGAGGAACAUACAGCGGCUCUCGUGGCAGAAGUACAAUGCAGCCUCUUAAGGCAAUUCUCGAGUCCGGCCGUUAAACGGCCGGACACAGCUAAGCACGCUCGGGGCAACCUACAACAAGACCACCUGGCACGUUCCGAGCACACGUAGCAGUGCGGCCCCAAUCCCAGCCCCUGUAAAAUGUCAAGACAGGUCCUUCGCGUACACCAUUACGCUCUGAAGAUACCAUGGGCAUGGGGAGAGGGUGUCGGGGAAACUGAUCCACCAACAUUUAUGGGGACCGGGCCCCUUUCGGUUCGGAGGGGGGCGGAGGCCGCGCAAAGAGCGGAUCGAGGCAGUACACGCGAGCAGUUUUACCCAGCUUCGGGCCGCACGGAUGCGUAAAACCCUACUGCUGCUUGUUUGUGUGUAUUGAAUUCUUGCUCAGGAGCGAUAGACGCUGCCAGACCGAGCGUGAGAGUGUUCCUGAUGUUUCGAAUGAGCCCGAACCUCUUCUACGUUGCGCUUGGGCCUCCUUUUAUACUUUCAAGGGGUCACCGACAGGUGGCAACGUAGACUAGAAGGGUAAAAAUGGAAAAGGAUGCGGUAGGUGCAGCUACCGCUACUGUGGACACAGUGCACCCUACCUAACUCUGACGGCAGGGGACAAGGUCAUUGAAUGCCCGUCUGAGUUGCCUAAACAGUGCAAAAAGUGACCGUUAGGAGCGCCACCGUUUGCCACGAUGGCCUUCUCUUCAUCUCCGCUUGCCACCGCGUACCCCUGGCUGCACAGGCUCCCGCCACGCGCCCCUGAGGAAGCCUCAUGGUGACACGCGGGUGGGUGCGCUGGAGCGUGGGUACAUAGUGGCAGCGGGCCCCCGGCGAGUACCUUGUCGGGGUCGUCGUCUUGUCGAGUCCAGAAGCUUGUCGCUCACCGGACCUUGCCGGGACGUGCGGUGCAUCGCGGCAAGUUUCUUGAAGUGUGGUGGUUGGCCUUCCCGGCAAGCUCCUCUUGCCGGGGCCUUGUCUCUUCCCGGCAAGAUCCUCUUGCCGGGGCCUUGUCUCUUCAUCUUGAAUGCUUUGUUCUUGAAUGGCUCCAAAGGAACCCAUGGAGGACUCUGGUGGUCGUCCGGCAAGCCUUGCCGCGCGGCGCUGCAACUGCCCGUGCAUAAGUUCGGGAUACUAGGGUACCCCUACUCUAGUACACCGACAGAGGGGCGCGACCACGAUAGGCCCAGACUGCGGCUCAACCACACUAGGGGCUCUCAAGUGUGUCGUUCUUUUUUUCUUUUUCCUUUUUAUUUUUACCCACAGGACUCCGUUCAUCAGAGGCCCUGUCCGGCAGUAGACCUGCCGAACUCACGAUGCAACAGCCAGGGAAGAAGAAAGGCUACAAUGAAUAUCCAGGUGGUCUCCAUUGCGAGCAUUAAAUCUGUUUUAUGCACCAUUCCGCAGCCUACCCCUGGAGGGGGACAUGUUUAACAGUCCCAUCCCUUGCUUAUCGCACCAUUUGUAUCGUUCUGCACUUACAGCAGUCUUUCUUGAAUAAGUAAUGCAACACCUUUUUGCUUCCAAUUGCAUUUCUCUUUUAUACAUAUGUUCAUUUGUGACACGUCGCAUCCAUACGUUUUGGUACGGCUAAAUACACUAGGGGCUUAUGUUUCCCGCAUCAUGGUGUGAUAAGUCCGAACACUUUCACAAGUGCGGCACCCCGAACUUAUAGCAUUAUAUGCAUCGGCUCCGAAUCAUGUCUUGGGUCAAUAGUUGGGUUUGCCUGGCUCUCAUGUUUUGGUACCUUACGUUCCGUUGUAUCGGCUAAGGUAGCACUGGGAGAACCACUGCGAUUGCGCCCCGGUUGAGCUGGGCGAGCGCCUCAGUGGAGAAAGCUAAAACUGACCGUCAUGAUGAGGCGAGAGCUGGUCGCUGUUCGAGAGGUUUUUUGCGAGUCCUUAAAGACUUAUGCCUCUUAGAGUGAGGAGCCGACUUUGUCUGGCCCAGGCGUGGAUAGCGCCCCAAAUUCGGCCUUCCGAAGACUAGGGGCUUCGCCGAAAUUUAAAAUUAUAGAAUUCUAUGGCUAAGUGAGAGUGUUCAAGCAUUAUAAGUCCGGUUGCCUUGUUCGUUGUGUUGAGUGCCUCCCUAGAUAGACCCAAAUAUGGGAACAAGAGUGCUCAAAUUUAUCCCGAACACCCCAACACUCGUGGCAUGGGGGCUGAAGCCGAUGACUUGCCAUCUCUCAGAUUUGAUAAACAACCGCACAUAAGGUAAUACUUUAAAUUAAAAAGCGUUGCUUAGUGCAAAUGAACUAAGUUUUCAGCGCACAGGAUAACAAAAUGCGAGUCUACUCAAAUAUUACAUCUUUGGAGCACUCACCCGCAAUAGUGCGGGCACCCUUCAACAUACUCUUAUAAUACAUCUCGGGCGUGCGAUGCUCCUUGCCCUGCGGUGGCGGGUCCAUCACGAGCUUCUGGGCAUCCAUCUUGCUCUAGUGCACCUUUGCGUGGGCAAGGGCCCGACGGGCACCUUCAAUACAGGCGGAGUGCUUGAUGACUUCAACCCACGGGCACGCAUCCACCAGCCGCCGCACCAGGCCGAAGUAGCUCCCAGGCAUGGCCUCCUUAGGCCACAGCCGAACUAUGAGGCCCUUCAUGGCCUGUUCGGCCGCCUUGUGGAGCUCGACCAGCUGCUUCAGCUGGUCGCUAAGGGGCACCGGAUGUCCGGCCUCAGCAUACUGAGACCAGAAGACCUUCUCCGUCGAGCUCCCCUCCUUGGCCCGGUAGAACGCGGCAGCAUCGGACACGCUGUGAGGAAGAUCUGUGAACGCUCCUGGAGAGCUCCGAAUUCGGGUAAGCAACAGGUAAUUAACACUCACAUGCUUACUUUGCAUGAAAAAUGCCUUACCCGCUGCUAUUUUCUUCAAUGCCUCGAUUUCCUGGAGGGCCUUGUAGGCUUCGGCCUUCACGGCUUUGGCACUCUCAAGAGUCGUUGCAAGCUCAGACUCUCGAGUCUUCGAGUCACGCUCCAGGCUCUCAUGUUUUUUCACGAGAUCCUGGAGCUCUUGCUGUACCUCCGCCACCCGCGCCUCUUGCUUCUCUCGCUCGGUGCGCUCCGCGGCCGCAAUGCGUUCGGCCGCGGCCACCGCCUCUUUCAGGGUCGCCACCUCGUUAGUGGCCCCUGCAAUACCCACGUUAUCCUUGUCAUUCUUUUUGCAACCAAAAUCCUUUUCUGUAAGGUACAAUUUUAAUAAGGUGUUACUCACCUUCCUUGUCCUCGAGCUGCUUCUUGGCACGGCCGAGCUCGUUCUCGGACCGCUCAAGGCUUUCCUUCAAAGUAUUGACCUCUGCAGUUAGUGCGGCAGAUGUCAGCAGCGCAGCCUGCAAUCCCAUAUUGACAUAUUUUUUAUGACUCCUGCGUAUAUCUUCUUAAGAUCCUCCGUCCGGCUUUUCUUUCCGAACACCGAACCGAACAUCAGGGGCUACUGUCUAUGCGGUACUAUUUUACAUAUAUCAAAAUUCUUACCUCAAAGCCUGUUAGAAGGCUGCUGCAGGCUUCGGUCAGCCCGCUCUUGGCGAGCUGCACCUUCUGAAUCACCGCACUCAUAACUGUGCGGUGUUCCUCUUCGAUGGAGGCGCCAUUAAGCGCCUCCAGCAAGCUAUCCGGCGCCUCCGGUUGGACGGAGGCUGCCGGCGUCACGGUCUUGCCCUUCUUACGAAGGGGCCGCCCGCCGGACUCCGGAGCCACUAUGGGAUCCGGAGCCGAGUCCGGUGCAAAGUCCGGGAGGUUGUCCUGCGACACCUCCGGGGCCUCCUCCUCCUGGCGGGUCCCUCCCCGGGAUCCCACCUCGGCAUCGUCCGUGUCACGGGGGGUGGAGGCGGUCGGAAGAGAAUCCAUAUCCGACGCACCUAAGGACCCGCUCGACGAAGCGGGAAGAUCGUCCUUGGGCGGACUGUAGGGUUGUAUGCGGCAUUAGAAAGACAUUGUGCGGCAAAAAAGAAAAACCAUGAAGUUAUUCGGGAGUCCGGAUACUCACGAUCUCGCCAGGGGCUUGGCCCUUGGAGGCCAGUCCUCGUCGUCAUCACUGGCGUUGGCAGAGCAGUCCGGGGGAAGAGUUUUUACCUUCUUGGACCCUUCGGCCUCCCUCGUUGGGGAGGCCUUCCUUUUCUUCUCUCCCCCCGCUGGGGGAGAGGCUUUCUUCUUCUCCUCCUCACCUUGGUGAGAGGAGUCGGCCUCAGAGUCGUCAUCCGAUAGCACCGGAAAACGGGAACUCUUUCGAGUCCCCGUGGCCUUCUUCUUGGCCUUCUUCUCCGGCACCACGUGGGGUGCCGGAGCCAGCAGCCCCAUUAGGCGGGCGUCCGCUGGGUCCUCUGGCAAUGGGGCCGGACAGAUAGUCCGCUCGGCCUUCGCCAGCCAGUCUUGUCAAAGGAAAGGGAGUUUAGAUCCCGCAUAGAGUCAAACUAUGGAAAACAAGCGUCUCGUAAAGGAGAAAAUCGCUUACCUCGUCAGCCGGACGCUGCGAGCUGAAUCCGCGAUCUUUGGUAGCGGAUGCGGGAGCCUCGGCGCCCUUAAACAGCACCUUCCAGACAUCUUCGUACGUAGUGUCGAAGAGCCCGCUCAAAGUCUGGUGCGGCGCCGGAUCGAACUCCCACAUAUUGAAGCCCCGUCGUUGGCACGGGAGGAUCCGGCGGAUGAGCAUGACCUAGACCACGUUGACAAGCUUGAGCUUCUUGUCCACCAGCUUUUGGACGCAGGCUUGGAGUCCGGUCAUCUCCUCCGAAUCACCCCAAGUCCGGCCGCUCUCUUUCCAUUAGGUGAGCCGUGUGGGGAUGCCAGAUCUGAAUUCGGGGGCCACUGCCCAUUCUGGGUCACGCGGCUCGGUGAUGUAGAACCAUCCCGAUUGCCACCCCUUGAUGGUUUCCACGAAAGUGCCCUCAAGCCAAGUAACGUUGGACAUCCUGCCCACCAUGGCGCCUCCGCACUCCGCUUGGCUGUCCUUCACAACCUUCGGCUUGACACUGAAGGUCUUGAGCCACAACCCGAAGUGGGGCUGGAUGCAGAGGAAGGCCUCACACACGACGAUAAACGGCGAGAUGUUGAGGAUGAAAUUCGGGGCCAGAUCAUGGAAAUCCAGGCCGUAGUAGAACAUGAGCCCCCGGACAAAGGGAUGGAGUGGGAAGCCCAGUCCCCGGAGGAAAUGGGGAAGAAAUACUACCCUCUCAUGGGGCCCGGGGGUGGGGAUGAGCUCUCCCUCGUCGGGGAGCCGGUGUGCGAUGUCGCUGGACAAAUAUUCAGCGUUGCGCAGCUUCUGAAUCUGCCCCUCCGUGACGGAGGAGGCCAUCCACUUGCCUCCCGCUUCGGACAUAGUUGGAGAAGGUUGAGGUGAGAAGUGCGGACUUGGGCGCUGGAGCUCGAGUUCGCGGAGAUGGAUAAGCCAAGGAGGAAGAAGGCGCAGGUAAAAGGGUUGGAUCUUUAUCCCCUUAUAUGGGCGGACAAAAACAUGUGUCCCCACCGGCCUGGUAAAACUCGCUUAUCUCCCAAGCGCCGCAAUCAAUGGCGCGGUUGGGUUACCCACGUCCAUAUUGAUGGGAAUCCCGGAAUAAGGGGAACACAAUCUCUGCUUCGACAAGACGUGCCAAGGAAACCGCUUCGCUAAACGCGUUGAGGUGGUACAAUAAAAACAAUUCGAGUAAAAGCUUGGUAGUGGUGUGACGUCACGCCACAAAACACGUCAGCAGAUUGAACUGGUGUAAUAUUAUUCUCUCUACGGUGGUACGUGGAAUUUAUUUUUGCAGAGCCGGACACUAUCCUGGUGUUCACAAUCUUCUAUAAAUUAUUCGGAGGAAGAACCCGCCUUGCAAUGCCGAAGACAACAUGCGCGCCGGACUCGUCGUCAUUGAAGCCUGGUUCAGGGGCUACUGAGGGAGUUCCGGACUAGGGGGUGUCCGGAUAGCCGAACUAUCAUCAUCAGCCGGACUCCAAGACUAUGAAGAUACAAGAUUGAAGACUUCGUCCCGUGUCCGGAUGGGACUUUCCUUGGCGUGGAAGGCAAGCUUGGCGAUACGGAUAUGUAGAUCUCCUACCAUUGUAACCGACUCUAUGUAACCCUAGCCCUCUCCGGUGUCUAUAUAAACCGGAUGGCUUUAGUCCAUAGGACGAACAACAAUCAUACCAUAGGCUAGCUUCUAGGGUUUAGCCUCCUUGAUCUCGUGGUAGAUCCACUCUUGUAACACACAUCAUCAAUAUUAAUCAAGCAGGACGUAGGGUUUUACCUCCAUCAAGAGGGCCAGAACCUGGGUAAACAUCGUGUCCCUUGCCUCCUGUUACCAUCCGCCUAGACGCACAGUUCAGGACCCCCUACCCGAGAUCCGCCGGUUUUGACACCGACAAAGGCCCAUAUACUCCUCGGCGAAUUCCCGUAACUCUCCGGUACUCCAAAAAAUACCCGAAUCACUCGGAACCUUUCCGAAGUCCGAAUAUAGUCGUCCAAUAUAUCGAUCUUUAUGUCCCGACCAUUUAGAGACUCCUCGUCAUGUCCCCGAUCUCAUCCGGGACUCCGAACUACCUUCGGUACAUCAAAACACAUAAACUCAUAAUAUAACCGUCAUCGAACUUUAAGCGUGCGGACCCUACGGGUUCGAGAACUAUGUAGACAUGACCGAGACACGUCUCCGGUCAAUAACCAAUAGCGGAACCUGGAUGCUCAUAUUGGCUCCCACAUAUUCUACGAAGAUCUUUAUCGGUCAAACCGCAUAACAACAUACAUUGUUCCCUUUGUCAUCGGUAUGUUACUUGCCCAAGAUUCGAUCGUCGGUAUCUCAAUACCUAGUUCAAUCUCAUUACUGUAAGUCUCUUUACUCGUUCCAUAAUACAUCAUCCUGCAACUAACUCAUUAGUUACAAUGCUUGCAAGGCUUAUAGUGAUGUGCAUUACCGAGUGGGCCCAGAGAUACCUCUCCGACAAUGGGAGUGACAAAUCCUAAUCUCGAAAUACGCCAACCCAACAAGUACCUUCGGAGACACCUGUAGAGCACCUUUAUGAUCACCCAGUUACGUUGUGACGUUUGGUAGCACACAAAGUGUUCCUCCGGUAAACGGGAGUUGCAUAAUCUCAUAUUUAUAGGAACAUGUAUAAGUCAUGAAGAAAGAAACAACAACAUACUAAACGAUUAAGUGCUAAGCUAACGGAAUGGGUCAAGUCAAUCACAUCAUUCUCCUAAUGAUGGGAUCUUGUUAAUCAAAUGACAAAUCAUGUCUAUGGUUAGGAAACUUAACCAUCUUUGAUUAACGAGCUAGUCAAGUAGAGGCAUACUAGUGACACUAUGUUUGUCUAUGUAUUCACACAUGUAUUAUGUUUCCGGUUAAUACAAUUCUAGCAUGAAUAAUAAACAUUUAUCAUGAAAUAAGGAAAUAAAUAAUAACUUUAUUAUUGCCUCUAGGGCAUAUUUCCUUCAGUCUCCCACUUGCACUAGAGUCAAUAAUCUAGUUCACAUCGCCAUGUGAUUUAACACCAAUAUUCAUAUCUGUAUAUGAUUAACACCCAUAGUUCACAUCGUCAUGUGACCAACACCCAAAGGGUUUAUUAGAGUCAAUAAUCUAGUUCACAUCGCUAUGUGAUUAACACCCAAAGAGUACUAAGGUGUGAUCAUGUUUUGCUCGUGAGAGAAGUUUAAUCAACAGGUCUGUCACAUUCAGAGCCGUAUGUAUUUUGCAAAAUAUUCUAUGUCUACAAUGCUCAGUACGGAAUCUACUCUAGCUAAUUGCUCCCACUUUCAAUAUGUAUCCAGAUUGAGACUUAGAGUCAUCUGGAUUGCAUCGAUGCAACCCUUUACGAAGAACCUCUUGUCACCUCCAUAAUCGAGAAACAUAUCCUUAUUCCACCAAGGAUAAUUUUGACCAAUGUCCAGUGAUCUACUCCUAGAUCACUAUUGUACUCCCUUGCCAAACCAGGGCAGAGUAUACAAUAGGUCUGGUCCAUAGCAUGGCAUACUUUUAUAGAACCUAUGACUGAGGCAUAGGGAAUGACUUUCAUUCUCUUUCUAUUUUCUGCCGUGGUCGGGAUUUGAGUCUUACUCAAUUUCACACCUUUGCAACACAGGCAAGAACUCUCUCUUUGAUUGUUCCAUUUUGAACUACUUCAAAAUCUUGUGAAGGUAUGUACUCAUUGAAAAUCUUAUCAAGCGUCUUGAUCUAUCUCAAUAGAUCUUGAUGCUCAAUAUGUAAGUAGCUUUACUAAGGUCUUUCUUUUAAAGAACUCCUUUCAAACACUUCUUUAUACUUUCCAGAAAAAUUCUACAUCAUUUCUGAUCAACAAUAUGUCACUCAUAUAUACUUAUCAGAAAGGCUGUAGUUCUCCCACUCACUUUAUUGUAAAUACAGGCUUCACUUCAAGCCCGUAUAAAACUAUAUGCUUUGAUCAACUUAUCAAAGCGUAUAUUCCAACUCUGAGAUGCUUGCACCAGUCCAUAGAUGGACCGCUGGAGCUUGCACAUUUUGUUAGCACCUUUAGGAUUGACAAAACCUUCUGGUUGCAUCACAUACAACUCUUCUUUAAGAAAACCAUUAAGGAAUGUAGUUUUGACAUCCAUUUGCCAGAUUUCAUAAAAUUGGGCAAUUGCUAACAUGAUUCGGACAGACUUAAGCAUCGCUAUAGUUGAGAAAAUCUCAUUGUAGUCAACACCUUGAACUUGUCGAAAACCUUUUUGCGACAAGUCGAGCUUUGUAGAUAGUAACACUACUAUCAACGGCCGUCAUCCUCUUGAAGAUCCAUUUAUUUUCUAUGGCUUGCCGAUCAUCGGGCAAGUCCACCAAAGUCCACACUUUUUUCUCAUACAUGGAUCCUAUCUCAGAUUUCAUGGCCUCCAGCCAUUUGGCGGAAUCUGGGCUCAUCAUCGCUUCCUCAUAGUUCGUAGGUUUAUCAUGGUCUAGUAACAUGACUUCUAGAACAGGAUUACCGUACCACUCUGGUGCGGACCAUACUCUGAAAGACCUACGAGGUCUGUAGUAACUUGAUAUGAAGUUUCAUGAUCAUCAUCAUUAGCUUCCUCGCUAAUUGGUGUAGGAAUCACUGGAACUAAUUUCUGUGAUGACCUACUUUCCAAUUCAGGAGAAGGUACAAUUACCUUAUCAAGCUCUACUUUCUCUCCCACUCGCUUCUUUCGAGAGAAACUCCUUAUCUAGAAAGGAUCCAUCUUAGAAAGGAAUAUCUUGCCUUCGAAUCUGUGAUAGAAGGUGUACCCAACAGUUUCCUUUGGGUAUUCUAUGAAGACACACUUCUCCGAUUUGGGUUCGAGCUUAUCAGGUUGAAACUUUUUCAUAUAACCAUCGCGACCCCAAACUUUAAAAAAUGACAACUUUGGUUUCUUGCCAAACCACAGUUCAUAAGGCAUAGUCUCAACGGAUUUUGAUGGUGCCCUAUUUAAAGUGAAUGCAGCUGUCUCUAAUGCAUAACCCCAAAAUGAUAAUGGUAAAUCAGUAAGAGACAUCAUAGAUCGCACCAUAUUUAAUAAAGUGUGGUUAUGAUGUUCGGACACACCAUUAUGCUAUGGUGUUCCAGGUGGCAUGAGUUUGUGAAACUAUUCCACAUUGUUUUAAUUGAAGACCAAACUCGUAACUCAAAUAUUCGUCUCCGCGAUCAGAUCACAAAAACUUUAUUUUCUUGUUACGAUGAUUUUCCACUUCACUCUGAAAUUCUUUGAACUUUUCAAAUAUUUCAGACUUAUGUUUCCUCAAGUAGAUAUACUCAUAUCUGCUCAAAUCAUCUGUGAAGGUCAGAAAAUAAUGAUACCCGCCACGAGCAUCAACACUCAUUGGACCGCAUACAUCGGUAUGUAUUAUUUCCAACAGGUCAGUAGCUCGUUCCAUUGUUCCGAAGAACGGAGUUUUAGUCAUCUUGCCCAAAAGGCACGGUUCGCAAGCAUCAAAUGAUUCAUAACCAAGUGAUUCCAAAAGUCCAUCUUUAUGGAGUUUCUUCAUGUGCUUUACACCGAUAUGAUCCAAAUGGCAGUGCCACAAAUAAGUUGCACUAUCAUUAUCAACUUUGCAUCUUUUGGCAUCACUAUUAUGAAUAUGUGUAUCACUACGAUCGAGAUCCAACAAACUAUUUUCAUUGGGUGUAUGACCAUCGAAGGUUUUAUUCAUGUAAACAGAACAACAAUAAUUCUCUGAUUUUAAAUGAAUAAUUGUAUUGCAAUAAACAUGAUCAAAUCAUAUUCAUGCUCAACGCAAACGUGAAAUAACAUUUAUUUAGGUUUAACACUAAUCCCGAAAGUAUAGGGAGUGUACGAUGAUGAUCAUAUCAAUCUUGGAACUACUUCCAACACACAUCGUCACUUUAUCCUCAACUAAUCUCUGUUUAUUCUGUAACUCCUGUUUCGAGUUACUAAUUUUUAGCAACCGAAUGAUAACCCACAAGUGUAGGGGAUCGCAACAGUUUUCUAUAAGUAAGAGUGUCGAACCCAACGAGGAGCUAAAGGUAGAAUAAAUAUUCCCUCAAGUUCUAUCGACCAUCGAUACAACUCUACGCACGCUUGAUGUUCGCUUUACCUAGAACAAGUAUGAAACUAGAAGUACUUUGUAAGUGUGAUAGGAUAGGUUUGCAAGAUAAUAAAGAACGCGUAAAUAAAAAGUAGGGGCUGUUUAUAUAAAGAUGCAAUAAAGUAAAUAUAACGAGUGUGGAAAAGUGGUGGUAGGAGUUGUGAAAUUGUCCCUAAGCAAUUGACUAUGUUACUAGACCGAUAAUCACUAUUGCAAUUCUAUUUAAGGGAGAGGCAUAAGCUAACAUACUUUCUGUACUUGGAUCAUAUGCACUUAUGAUUGGAACUCUAGCAAGCAUUCGCAAAUACUAAAGAUUCAUUAAGGUAAAACCCAACCAUAGCAUUAAAGUAUCAAGUCCCCUUUAUCCCAUACGCAACAAUCCCCUUACUCGGGUUUGUGUUUCAGUCACUCACGCAACCCACUAUAAGCGAAUCAUAAACGCAUUGCAACACCCUACAACGGCAAUCCCUCAUGCUUGCACGACACAAAGGGCACCAUAGGACAGCACCAAUAAUAAAACAUGCAACUCAAACCAAUCAUAGCAAUUUAUCAAUCACCGAUAGGACAACGAAAAACUACUCAGACAUCAUAGGAUGGCAACACAUCAUUGGAAAAUAAUAUGAAGCAUAAAGCACCAUGUUCAAGUAGAGGGUACAGCCAGUUGCAGGAGAGUGGACCGCUGGAUAUAGAUGGGGGAAGGUGAUGGAGAUGUUGGUGAAGAUGACAGCGGUGUUGGUGAAGAUCGCGGUGAUGAUGAUGGCCCCCGGCAGCGCUCCGGCGCCACCGGAAGCAAGGGGGAGAGAGGCCCCCUUCUUCUUCUUCUUCCUUGACCUCCUCCCUAGAUGUGAGAAGGGUUUCCCCUCUGGUCCUUGGCUCCCAUGGCAUGGGAGGGGCUCCCCUCCGAGAUUGGAUCUAUCUCUCUGUUUCUGCGUUCUGUGUUUCUGCCCCUUCACCGUUUCCUUUAUAUCUGGAGAUCCGUAACUCCGAUUGGAGUGAAUCUUUCGCCCAGAUUUUUCUCGUAAAUAUAGCUUUCUUGCGGCAAAAGAAGGGCAUCAACCGCCUUACGGGUGGCCCACGAGAGUCCAGGGCGUGCCCAGGAGGGGAGGGCGCACCCCCCUGUCUCAUGGCCACCCCGGGCACCGUUUCGCGUUGAUUCUUCCUCCGAAAAAUCCCAAAUAUUCCAAAAUAUUUCUCCGUCCAUUUUUAUCCCAUUUGGAUUCCGUUUGAUAUUCGUUUUCUGUGAAACAUAAAACAUGCAACAGACAGGAACUGGCACUGGGCACUGGAUCAAUAUGUUAGUCCCAAAAAUAGUAUAAAAAGUUGCCAAAAGUAUAUGAAAGUUGAAGAAUAUUGGCAUGGAACAAUCAAAAACUAUAGAUACGACGGAGACGUAUCAGCAUCCCCAAGCUUAAUUCCUGCUCGUCCUCGAGUAGGUAAAUGAUAAAAAAAUUGAUGUGGAAUGCUACCUAGCAUAAUCUUGAUCAUAUAUCUAAUCAUGUCAUGAAUAUUAAGACACGAGUGAUUCAAAGCAAUAGUCUAUCAUUUGACAUAAAAACAAUAAUACUUCGAGCGUACCAAUAAAGCAAUCAUGUCUUUUCAAAACUACAAGGCCAAAGCAAGCUUAUCCCUACAAAAUCAUACAGUUUGGCCAUGCUUCAUUUUCGUCACACAAAAAUGCUCCCAUGAUGCACAACCUCGAUGACAAGCCGAGCAAUUGGUUCAUACUUUUUAACGCGCUUCAGCUUUUUCAACCCUCACGCAAUACAUGAGCGCAAGCCAUGGAUAUAGCACUAUAGGUGGAAUAGAAUAUAAUGAUGGAGGUUUAUAUGGAGAAGACAAAAAAGGGAGAAAAUCUCACAUCGACGCGGCUAAUCAACGGGCUUUGGAGAUGCCCAUCAAUUGAUGUCAAUGCGAGGAGUAGGGAUUGCCAUGCAACGGAUGCACUAAGAGCUAUAAGUGUAUGAAAGCUCAACAAAAGAAACUAAGUGGGUGUGCAUCCAACUUGCUUGCUCAUGAAGACCUAGGGCAUUUGAGGAAGCCCAUUGUUGGAAUAUACAAGCCAAGUUAUAUAAAGAAAAUGCCCACUAGUAUAUGAAAGUGACAACAUAGGAGACAAUCUAUAUGAAGAACAUGGUGCUACACUGAAGCACAAGUGUGGAAAAAGGAUAGUAACAUUGCCCCUUUUCUUUUUCUUUUUAUUAUUUUUAUUUUUUUCUUUCUCUUUUUUGGUGGGCUUCUUUGGCCCCCUUUUUUUAUUUAGGCUUCUUUGGCCUUUCCUUUUUUUUCUUUUUUUUCUUUUUUUUCUGGAGCAAUGCUCUAUAAUGAUGAUCAUCACACUUUUACUUACUUACAACUCGAUAUUACAACUCGAUACUGGAAGAAAGAUAUGACUCUAUAUGAAUGCUUCCGGCGGUGUACCAGGAUGUGCAAUGAUCUAGCGUAGCAAUGACAUCAAAAAUGGACAAGCCAUGAAAACAUCAUGCUAGCUAUCUUACGAUCAUGCAAAGAAAUAUGACAAUGAAUGCUCAAGUCAUGUAUAUGAUGAUGAUGGAAGUUGCAUGGCAAUAUAUCUCGGAAUGGCUAUGGAAAUGCCAUGAUAGGUAGGUAUGGUGGCUGUUUUGAGGAAGAUAUAAGGAGGCUUAUGUGUGACAGAGCAUAUCAUAUCACAGGGUUUGGAUGCACCAGCGAAGUUUGCACCGACUCUCGAGGUGAGAAAGGGCAAUGCACGGUACCGAAGAGGCUAGCAAUGAUGGAAAGGUAGAAGUGCGUAUAAUCCAUGGACUCACAUUAGUCAUAAAGAACUCAUAUACUUAUUGCAAAAGUUUAUUAGCCCUCUAAGCAAAGUACUACUACGCAUGCCCCUAGGGGGAUAGAUUGGUAGGAAAAGACCAUCGCUCGUCCCCGACCGCCACUCAUAAGGAAGACACUCAAAGAAACACCCCAUGCUUCCAAUUUGUCACACAACGGUUACCAUACGUGCAUGCUACGACACAUGCAAACCUCAACACAAGUGUCUCUACAAUCCACAACCACCCACUAGCAUGACUCUAAUAUCACCAUCUUUAUAUCGCAAAACUAUUGCAAGGAAUCAAACAUAUCAUAUUCAGCAAUCUACAAGUUUAUGUAGGAUUUUAUGACUAACCAUGUGAAUGGCCAAUUCCUGUCAUCUCUCUAAAAAGAUAUAAGUGAAGCAAGAGAGUUUAAUUCUUUCUACAAAAGAUAUUCCCAUGCUCUAACAAAUAUAAGUGAAGCAAAAGAGAAUUCUACAAAUGGCGGUUUUCUAUGUGAAGAGAAACAGGCAAUCCAAACUUCAAAUGAUAUAAGUGAAGCACAUGAAGAAUUCUAUAAAGCCACACUCAAAGGAUUUAAGUGAAGUGCAAUGAGAAUUCUAUAAAACAACCAAAGACUAUCUCAUACCAGCAUGGUCCAUAAAAUAAAAAUGAAAACUAAAUGCAAAAAUACGCUCCAAAACUUGCACAUAAUGCAUGAACGAAACGAAUUCGAAAACAUAUCGAUACUUAUUGAAGAAAGAGGGGAUGCCUUCCGGGGCAUCCCCUAGCUUAGACGCUUGAGUAUCCUUGAAUAUUUACUUGGGGUGCCUCGGGCAUCCCCAAGCUUGAGCUCUUGCCUCUCUUCCUUUUCCUCAUAUCGAGACCUCCUCUUUUAACACUUCAUCCACACAAAACUUCAACAGAAAACUCGGUAAGAUCCGUUAGUAUAAUAAAGCAAAUCACCACUAUAAGUACUGUUGCAAACCAAUUCAUAUUUUGUUUUUGCAUUGUGUCUACUUUAAUAUAGCUUUUUCAUGGCUUAAUCCACUGAUAUAAAUUGAUAGAUUCAUCAAAACAAGCAAACUAUGCAUCAAAAACAGAAUCUGUCAAAAACAGAACAGUCUGUAGCAAUCCAAACAUCCACCAUACUUCUGUUACCCCAAAAAUUCUACCACAAUUAUGAAAAAUACAAAAGUUGUAUAUAAAGACAGUGCAAAAAGAAUCAGAACCAAUUGACGUUCCAGUUGAAAAUGUAAAAUCGCGCACUACAGCUAAAGUUUCUGUCCUGCACCGUACAAACCAACAAGCAUUGUAAACAUCCUAAAGGCAAACCUUAGCACAUUAUUUUUAUAAUACAAUGGAAUUGUACAAGGGGAUAAUUAUUUUUAAUGAAAAGUUUCUGUAAUCAAGAUUCACAAAGUUUCCAUGAGCAUGAACAAAGUUCAAGGAGCUCUCCCACUUCAACAAUGCUUGUCUUUCUCACUUUCAUUUUCCUUUUUGAAAAGUUUUUAGGUUCCCCUCUUUAUUUAUUUUUUUGUUUUUAGACUAUAUGAAAGCACUCAACAGAAAUAAAUGACUCCCUAAAACUUUCGGGUUGUCUCCCUGGCAGCACUUUCUUUAAAGCCAUUAAGCUAGCCAUAUAGUGCUCAAGUAAUGAAUCCACCUGGAUCCCAAGGUAUGUCAAAGCCAAUUUUAAUUAACAAUGAUUUGUAAUUUAGUAGUGAGCACAAAGUAACAUAUAUCAAGCAACAACAAAGUCUAACUCUCUUCCUAUGCAUCGGCAUGUCAUAAAAGAACAAUUCAUGCACACCAAGUAAAGGCCAAUGCAUAGUAUAAGCAGUUUCGUGCAAUUCUAUCAUGUUGGAAACAUAGAGAGGUGGAGAAAUAGUUCCUCUCUCAUAAUAAUUGCAAGUAGGAGCAGCAAGCACAUGCAUAUUAUAUUCAUCAAAAUCAUCAUGUGCAAUGGUAAAAGGCAACCCAUCAAUAUAAUCCUUAAUAAGCACAAACUUCUCCGAUAUAGUGUAGUUUGGAGAAUUCAAAAAGAUAAUAGGACUAUCAUGCGUGGGUGCAAUAGUAAAAAUUUCAUGUUUAACAUAAGGAUCUAUAGCAAGUUCAUCUCCAUAAGCAUAACUCAUAUUGGCAUCUUGGCCACAAGCAUAGCAAGCAUAGCAAGCAUCAUCAAAAAGGGAUAUUUCAAACAAAUUCAAGGGAUCAUAGCAAUCAUCAUAGCAAUCAGCCUUCGGUAAGCACGAAGGGGAAUAAAAUAAUGUAUGAGUUGGAGGGUUACUCUCAUUAGAAGGUGGGCACGGGUAGCUAAUCCGCUCUUCCUCCUUUUGUUCUUCGCUCUCCUCAUCAUCUUUUUCAUCCAAUGAGCUCACAGUUUCAUCAAUUUCUUCUUCCAUAGCUUCCUGCAAAAUAUUAGUCUCUUCUUGGACAGCGGAGACUUUCUUCAUAAAAGCAUUAAUAUAGUAAAUGUAUUCAUAAUUUUCACAGCAAUAUCUAAAUAUAGCAAGAUUUUCAGGCCUAUAAACAUCAUCAUCUAAAGCUUCGUAUUUUUCAAACAAAGAUUCAAUUUCAUAAGCAGCCUUAAAAGCAACAAAUUCUACUAUUUGUUCCACAUCAUAGUAAUCAUAUAUACCAUUAGCAUAAGAAGCUAAGGUUUCAUUAUCAUUAAAUUCGCAUGAAAAGGGAAGGUGUGGAGCCUUCAUCCUAGAGCAACAAGUAAUAUCAUAUCUCAAGCAUAGAUCCCGGGCAUACCAACGCAACAUAAUAAAUUGAUCCCAUAAUAGUUUCCCUUUUUGUGUCGAAUGAUAAUCCCUAAAGUAUUCACGUUGAUCCAACGUGUCUCCCAUUAUAAAGUUGAAUGGGGUUUUCUCAGGAUUAUCAAAGUAGUACAUAAUAUCGUUCACAUAAUGAGAAUCGGGGGUUUUAGGAGUUACCCCAUCUACAUGAUUAGCAAGUACAUCUAAUUUUUUUGGUAUUUUGCGUUCCAUAUCCAUAACUAAAGAUAGUGAACAACUAAGAACAGCAAAUAAAAAUUACUUAAUGAUAAAGCAAACAAGCACACACGAGAAUAUUCACCCCACGCUAUGACUCCCCAGCAACGGCGUCGGAAAAAGGUCUUGAUAACCCACAAGUGUAGGGGAUCGCAACAAUUUUCGAUAAUUAAGAGUGUCGAACCCAACGAGGAGCUAAAGGUAUAGUAAAUAUUCCCACAAGUUCUAUCGACCACCGAUACAACUCUACGCACGCUUGACGUUCGCUUUACCUAGAACAAGCAUGAAACUAGAAGUACUUUGUAGGUGUGAUAGGAUAGGUUUGCAAGAUAAUAAAGAACGCGUAAAUAAAAAGUAGGGGUUGUUGAUAUAAAGAUGCAAUAAAGUAAAUAUAGCGAGUGUGGAAAAGUGGUGGUAGGAGUUGUGAAAUUGUCCCUAAGCAAUUGACUAUGUUACUAGACCAAUAAUCACUAUUGCAAUUCUAUUUAAGGGAGAGGCAUAAGCUAAUAUACUUUCAUUACUUGGAUCAUAUGCACUUAUGAUUGGAAAUCUAGCAAGCAUCCGCAAAUACUAAAGAUUCAUUAAGGUAAAACCCAACCAUAGCAUUAAAGUAUCAAGUCCCCUUUAUCCCAUAUGCAACAAUCCCCAUACUCGGGUUUGUGUUUCAGUCACUCACGCAACCCACUACAAGCGAAUCAUAAACGCACUGCAACACCCUACAGCGGGAAUCCCUCACGCUUGCACGACACGGAGGGCACCAUAGGACAGCACCAAUAAUAAAACAUGCAACUCAAACCAAUCAUAGCAAUUCAUCAAUCACCAAUAGGACAACGAAAAUCUACUCAGACAUCAUAGGAUGGCAACACAUCAUUGGAAAAUAAUAUGAAGGAUAAAGCACCAUGUUCAAGUAGAGGGUACAGCGGGUUGCGGGAGAGUGGACCGCUGGAUAUAGAUGGGGGAAGGUGAUGGAGAUGUUGGUCAAGAUGACGGCGGUGUUGGUAAAGAUCGCGGUGAUGAUAAUGGCCCCCGGCAGCGCUCCGGCGCCACCGGAAGCAAGGGGAGAGAGGUCCCCUUCUUCUUCUUCUUCUUCCUUGACCUCCUCCCUAGAUGGGAGAAGGGUUUCCCCUCUGGUCCUUGGCUCCCAUGGCGUGGGAGGGGCGAGAGUCCCUCUGAGAUUGGAUCUAUCUCUCUGUUUCUGCGUUUUGUGUUUCUGCCCCUUCACCGUUUCCUUUAUAUCUGGAGAUCCGUAACUCCGAUUGGGGUGAAUCUUUCGCCCAGAUUUUUCUCGUAAAAUUAACUUUAUUGCGGCAAAAGAAGGGCGUCAACCACCUUAUGGGUGGCCCACGAGAGUCCAGAGCGCGCCCAGGGGGGAGGGCGCACCCCUGUCUCGUGGCGACCUCGGACACCGUUUCGCGUUGAUUCUUCCUCCGGAAAAUCCCAAAUAUUCCAAAAUAAUUCUCCGUCCGUUUUUAUCCUGUUUGGAUUCCGUUUGAUAUUGGUUUUCUGCGAAACAUAAAACAUGCAACAGACAGGAACUGGCACUGGGCACUGGAUCAGUAUGUUAGUCCCAAAAAUAGUAUAAAAAGUUGCCAAAAGUAUAUGAAAGUUGAAGAAUAUUGGCAUGGAACAAUAAAAAAGUAUAGAUACGACGGAGAUGUAUCACCGAACAAGUAUCAAAUACCCAGGGGCCACUGUAAACACUAGUAAGGUACACAUGAAUAACAUGUAUAUCAAAUAUACCCUUGUUCACUUUGUCAUCCUUCUUAUCCACCAAAUAUUCAGGGCAUUUCCGCUUCCAGUGACCAUUUCCUUUGCAGUAGAAGCACUAUGCUCCAGGCUUUGGUUCAGCUUUGGGCUUAUUCACGGGAGUGACAACUUGCUUGCCAUUCUACUUGAAGUUUCCCUUUCUUUCCCUUUGCCCUUUUCUUGAAACUAGUGGUCUUGUCAAUCAACACUUGAUGCUUUUUCUUGGUUUCUACCUUCAACGAUUUCAACAUCACGAAGAGCUCGGGAAUCAUUUUCGUCAUCCCUUGCAUACUAUAGUUCAUCACGAAGUUCUAGUAACUUGGUGAUGGUGACUAGAGAACUCUGUCAAUCGCUAUCUUAUCUGGAAGAUUAACUCCCACUUGAUUCAAGCAAUUGUAGUACCCAGACAAUCUGAGCACAUGCUCACUAGUUGAGAAAUUCUCCUCCAUCUUUUAGCUAUAGAACUUGUUGGAGACUUCAUAUCUCUCAACUCGGGUAUUUUCUUGAAAUAUUAACUUCAACUCCCGGAACAUCUCAUAUGGUCCAUGAUGUUCAAAACGUCUUUGAAGUCCCGUUUCUAAGCUGUUAAGCAUGGUGCACUAAGCGAUCAAGUAGUCAUCAUAUUGAGCUAGCCAAACGUUUAUAAUGUCUGCAUCUGCUCCUGCAAUAGGUCUGUCACCUAGCGGUGCAUCAAGAACAUAAUUCUUCUGUGCAGCAAUGAGGAUAAACCUCAGAUCACGGACCUAGUCUGCAUCAUUGCUACUAUCAUCUUUCAACUUAGUUUUCUCUAGGAACACAUAUAAAACAUAGGGAAGCAACAAUGCGAGCUAUUGAUCUACAACAUAAUUUGCAAAAUACUAUCAGGACUAAGUUCAUGAUAAAUUAAAGUUCAAUUAAUCAUAUUACUUAAGAACUCCCACUUAGAUAGACAUCCCUCUAAUCAUCUAAGUGAUCACGUGAUCCAAAUCAACUAAACCAUGUCUGAUCAUCACGUGAGAUGGAGUAGUUUUCAAUGGUGAACAUCACUAUGUUGAUCCUAUCUACUAUAUGAUUCACGCUCGACCUUUCGGUCUCAGUGUUCCAAGGCCAUAUCUGCAUAUUCUAGGCUCGUUAAGUUUAGCCUGAGUAUUCUGCGUGUGCAAAACUGGCUUGCACCCGUUGUAGAUGGACGUAGAGCUUAUCACACCCGAUCAUCACGUGGUGUCUGGCACGACGAACUUUGGCAACGGUGCAUACUCAUGGAGAAUACUUUUAUCUUGAAAUUUAGUGAGAGAUCAUCUUACAAUGCUACCGUCAAUCAAAGCAACAUAAGAUGCAUAAAAGAUAAACAUCACAUGCAAUCAAUAUAAGUGAUAUGAUAUGGCCAUCAUCAUCUUGUGCUUGUGAUCUCCAUCUCCGAAGCACCGUCAUGAUCACCAUCGUCACCGGCGCGACACCGUGAUCUCCAUCAUAGCAUUGUUGUUGUCUCGCCAACUAUUGCUUCUACGACUAUCGCUACCGCUUAGUGAUAAAGUAAAGCAAUUACAGGGUGAUUGCAUUGCAUACAACAAAGCGACAACCAUAUGGCUCCUGCCAGUUGCCGAUAACUCGGUUACAAAACAUGAUCAUCUCAUACAAUAAAAUAUAGCAUCAUGCCUUGACCAUAUGACAUCACAACAUGCCCUGCAAAAACAAGUUAGACGUCCUCUACUUAGUUGUUGCAAGUUUUACGUGGCUGCUACAGGCGGAGCAAGAACCGUUCUUACCUACGCAUCAAAACCACAAUGAUAGUUCGUCAAGUUAGUGUUGUUUUAACCUUCUCAAGGACCAGGCGUAGCCACACUCGGUUCAACUAAAGUUGGAGAAACUGACACCCGCUAGUCACCUGUGUGCAAAGCACGGCGGUAAAACCAGUCUCGCAUAAGCGUACGCGUAAUGUCGGUCCGGACCGCUUCAUCAACAAUACCGCCGAACCAAAGUAUGACAUGUUGGUAAGCAGUAUGACUUGUAUCGCCCACAAUUCACUUGUGUUCUACUUGUGCAUAUAACAUCUACGCAUAAAAGCUGACUCUGAUACCACUGUUGGGGAACGUAGUAAUUUCAAAAAAUUUCCUACGCACACACAAGAUCAUGGUGAUGCAUAGCAACGAGAGGGGAGAGUGUGUCCAUGUACCCUCGUAGACCGAAAGCGGAAGUGUUAGCACAACGCGGUUGAUGUAUUCGUACGUCUUCACGAUCCGACUGAUCAAGUACCGAAUGCACGACACCUUUGAGUUCAGCACACGUUCAACUCGAUGACGUCCCUCGAACUCCGAUCCAGCCGAGCUUUGAGGGAGAGUUCCGUCAGCAUGACGGUGUGCUGACGAUGAUGAUGUUCUAUCGACGCUGGGCUUUGCCUAAGCACCGCUACGGUAUUAUUGAGGUGGAAUAUGAUGGAGGGGGGCACCGCACAUGGCAAAGAGAUCAAUGAUCAAUUGUUGUGUCUAGAGGUGCCCCCCUGCCCCUGUAUAUAAAGGAGGGAGGGAGAGGCCGGCCCUAGAGGGGGGGCGCCAAGUGUGGGGAGUCCUACUAAGACUCCCAAGUCCUAGUAGGAUUCCCCGCUCCUUUCCGGAGUAGGAGAGAAGGACAGAGGGGGAGAGGGAGAAGGAAAAGGGGGCUGCACCCCUUGUCCAAUUCAGACCUGAGGGGGGUGGGCGCCCCCUUCCUUUUGGCCUCUCUCCUCUAUUCCCGUAUGGCCCAAUAAGGCCCAUAUACUCCUCAGUGUAUUCCCGUAACUCUCCGGUACUCCAAAAAAUACCCGAAUCACUCGGAACCUUCCCGAAGUCCGAAUAUAGUCGUCCAAUAUAUCGAUCUUUACGUCUCGAGCAUUUCGAGACUCCUUGUCAUGUCCUUGAUCUCAUCCGGGACUCCGAACUACCUUCGGUACAUCAAAACACAUAAACUCGUAAUAUAACCGUCAUCGAACUUUAAGCGUGCGCACCCUACGGGUUCGAGAACUAUGUAGACAUGACCGAAACACGUCUCCGGUCAAUAACCAAUAGCAGAACCUGGAUGCUCAUAUUGACUCUCACAUAUUCUGCGAAGAUCUUUAUCGGUCAAACCGCAUAACAACAUACGUUGUUCCCUUUGUCAUCGGUGUGUUACUUGCCCGAGAUUCGAUCGUUGGUAUCUCAAUACCUAGUUUAAUCUCGCUACCGGCAAGUCUCAUUACUCGUUCCGUAAUACAUCAUACUGCAACUAACUCAUUAGUUACAAUGCUUGCAAGGCUUAUAGUGAUGUGCAUUACCGAGUGGGCCCAGAGAUACCUCUUCGACAAUGGGAGUGACAAAUCCUAAUCUCGAAAUACGACAACCCAACAAGUACCUUCGGAGACACCUGUAGAGCACCUUUAUAAUCACCAAGUUAUGUUGUGACGUUUGGUAGCACACAAAGUGUUCCUUCGGUAAACGGGAGUUGCAUAAUCUCAUAGUUAUAGGAACAUGUAUAAGUCAUGAAGAAAGCAAUAGCAACAUACUAAAUGAUCAAGUGCUAAGCUAACGGAAUGGGUCAAGUCAAUCACGUCAUUCUCCUAAUGAUGUGAUCCCGUUAAUCAAAUGACAACUCAUGUCUAUGGUUAGGAAACUUAACCAUCUUUGAUUAACGAGCUAAUCAAGUAGAGGCAUACUAGUGACACUAUGUUUGUCUAUGUAUUCACACAUGUAUUAUGUUUCUGGUUAAUCCAUUUCUAGCAUGAAUAAUAAACAUUUAUCAUGAAAUAAGGAAGUAAAUAAUAACUUUAUUAUUGCCUCUAGGGCAUAUUUCCUUCACCGACUACGGAUGAAACACAAACAGAAACUCAAACGACAUCCACCCUGCUAGCCCAGGCUGCGACCAGGAACCUAACCCCUGAACGAAGAAGAAGUAGAAGAAGAACUUCAAAACAAGUAAGCAUCGCUCUCGCGUCAUGAUCAUCAUGUUACCUGUACCUGCAACUAUUGUUGUAGUAAUCUGUGAGCCACAAGGACUCAACAAUCCCAUUACCAUGGGUAUCAAGACUAGCAAAGCUUAAAGGGUAUGGAAUGGAUAAGUGGCAAGGUUGCAGCAACGACUAAGCAUGAUAUGGUGCCUAACUUACGAAUACAAGAGUAAGGUGGGAAGCUACGCAAACGGUCACAAACUACUUACGUCCAAACAUAACCCAAACCAUGUUCACUUCCCGGACUCCGUCGAGAAGAGACCAUCAUGGCUACACACACGGUUGAUGCAUUUUAAUUAAGUCAAGUGUCAAGUUCUCUACAACCAGAUAUUAACAAAUUCCCAUCUGCCUCAUAACCACGAGCACGGCUCUCGAAAGUUUAAUCCCUGCAGGGGUGUCCCAACUUAGCCCAUUACAAGCUCUCAUGAUCAACGAAGGAUAUUCCUUCUUCCCGGAAGACCCGAUCAGUCUCGGAAUCCUGGUUACAAGACAUUUCGACAAUGGUAAAACAAGGCCAGCAAGACCACCCGACUGUGCCGACAUAGGAGCUGCACAUAUCUCGUUCUCAGGGCGCACCCGAUGAGACAUCCUACGAGUAAAACCAACCCUCAAGUUUUCCCGAGGUGGCCCCGCAGUCUACUCGGUUCGGACCAACAUUUAAAGAAGCACUGGACCGGGGGGGGUUAAAUAAAGAUGACCCUCGGGUUUAUAACUCCCAAGGGAAAGUUAGUAGGUUAUUAGGCAAAUGUAAAGCCAAGGUUGGGCCUUGGUGGAAGAGUUUUAUUCAAAGCGAACUAUCAAGGGGUUCCCAUAAACCCGACCGCGUAAGGAACGCAAAAUCAAGGAACAUAACACCGGUAUGACGGAAACUAAGGUGGCAAGAGUGGAACAAAACACCAGGCAUAAGGCCGAGCCUUCCACCCUUUACCAGGUAUAUAGAUGCAUUAAUUAAAUAAGAGAUAUUGUGAUAUCCCAAAAUAAUCCAGUUCCAACAUGGAGCAAUCUUCAACUUCACCUGCAACUAACAAUGCUAUAAGAGGGGCUGAGCAAAAGCGGUAACUUAGCCAAGCAACGACUUGCUAGGAAGGGUGAAAAGGUUAGAGGCUGACAUGACAAUUUGGGCGGCUUGAAAAACAAGUGAUAGGUAGCGCAGCAUAGCGAUAGAACGAAGCAACUAGCAUAGCAAUGAUAGUAGUGAGAUCCAGGGUAACGGUCAUCUUACUUGAAAUCUCGCUAGGAAGAACAAUGAGUCCAUGAAGAAUACGAACGGACAAAGACGAACCAAGUGUAGUCGAACGAAUCCUCACAAUUGCAACGAAAUAGGAACUAUCGAGAAGAAGCACAACCGGAAAGAAGCAAACAACGUGGUAAACACACAACACAUAUACAUGACAUGAUGCUCAACCAAUUAUGAUGCAUGACAAGGGUACAUGAUGCUACUCGUGGCAAGAUAUGAUGCAUACAAGAACAACACAUCCAAGCAAGUUUAAAUGAGGCCGGGACAACAUAUAACCAAUCCGGUAAGUCCCCAAAUGCAAAUUUCGAAACUAGUCCAGAUUUGAAUAAAUCAUAUGUUCAAGUAGUUAAACAGCAAGUUAAUAUUCACCAUAAUGAUCUACAUGAAAUUCUAUUCAAGUUACAUAUAAAUUUCAUUCAAUUCGGAGCUACGACCUAGAAGAAAUGAGCAAAACAAGUCAAACAUGGCAUUGAUGCAAAAUACAUUCAAACAUCAAGUAAACACUCUCAAAACAAGGAUGCAACAUGAUAAGAUGAAACUACAUGCAAAAUCAAGCAAGUUUCAUAUAGAGCAUGCUCAAAAUGGAGCAACGGUGCAACACAUACACUCCAAACAAGAUAUAACAACAAUCUGCCCAAAAUAGCAAGUAGGCACUUUGCAAACAUCAAAAUAACAUGCUACAGGAAUCAUAUGAGCACAAACUUGACAUGCAAUUCAUUUACAGAUAACAUACUUCAAAUAUCAUUAAGGUUCAGGUUCAUAGGCAUCAAGAUUAAACCAAUAUGAUCAAUGCAAAAUGCAACUUUAUAACACAGGAGCAUAUACAUGAGCAGAGUUAAUAUGAUGACAUGUUGGAGGUAUGAAACAAAGAUGCUACAACAACUAUACAUGGCAACCAAGGGAAUGGCAUCAAAUUAUAAAUAAUAAAGAGAAAAUAACAUCAGGGCAUCAUAUACAUAAGGCUCAUGGAUUAGUGGGAACCAACAAGACAAGAUUGAAUGUUGAAACAGUUUCAGCAAGUGUAAAACAGCAACAUUAUGAUAGCAUGUUUACAAGCAUGGAACAAAGGCAUAUGAUAACCAAAAUUAUCAAACAUGGCAUUAGAACAAAGUACUCAUAGAAUUCUUCAAAACAUGUAAUUGGAUCAUCUCCAAAAGAGGCAUUAAUUAAUUAAUAUCAUGCUCACAACAAGGCAUCAUGAAGUUAACAGAAAACUGGAACAAUAUAUAGGCAUGUUCAUGGCAAUGAAAACAUAUGCUACAUGACAUGUAUAGGACAUAAAAAUGCAUUGAAAGAUAGAGCAUAAAAUGGGCAUCAAAACAUGUCAACUAAGCAUCUCCAGAUUAUGCAUGGAUUAAAUGGUAGCAUCAAGCAAAGAUGGCAUCAUGAUAUAACAGAAACAGACUUGACAGGAAGUUAACAGCAAGUAGCCAACUUCACAAGUUUGAUGCACUCACUACAGGGCAUAACAAAAUACAUGGAGUGCAACCCUGUAAAUAUGGCAUGAAGAUUCUCCUAAAACAUGUAUACAUGAUGCUAAAAAAAAUCACACAAAAAUGAUAUAAAAAUGAUAAAUAGGCAAGUUAUAACAGUUUCCAGCAGUUAAAAGCAACAUGCACUUUUGCAACAGGGAUUAAGAUAUAAAGAUGCACCCUAACAUGAAUUAAAAGCACACCAAUAUGUAGGGCAUGAAGAGCAGAACAUGUGCAUAUUAAGAUCAUCAUCAUAGGAUCAACAGGGACAAAGUUAUAUCACUCACAAGAUGCAUACAUGAUAUUAACAAUCAGCAGAUUCCAGCAGUUUAUAUUACUUAGCAGUCUUGCAACGAACAUUAAGGCAUCAAUAUGAAUAGUAACAUGAAUGCAAACUACUCCAUCAUGAAUAGAACUCAAGUGAUGAACAUUUUGACAUAUCAUGCACUCCAAACGGAGAAACGAGCACAAAGUUAUGAUAUGGCAAAGAUGCAUACAUAAUGUUUGAAAACUGGGACUUAGUGAGAAUAUACCCUCGCGAAAACGGGACGAGGAGGGCCCGGGACGGAGAGAUCCGGGACGGUGCACGUGUUUGGUUGGCGGGACGGGGUCGGCUAGGGUCGUGGUGGUGCAGAUCGAGCUCCGGCGAGGUGGAGCUCCGGUGACGGCAACGUGGCGAGGAUCUGUGGCGAUGGGGGUCGUCGGGGUUGGAUCCAGGCAGGGAGGGGCCACUACGGCCGGAUCCGUGCGUCGCCGGUGGCUGGGAGGCGGCGGACUGGGCACGGGUCGAUGGCGAGCUGUAGGGAGCGGGGCGGCACGCGCGAAGGAGCGGCGAGGCGCGGCGGCGGCGCGCGGCGAUGCAGGCGGCGGGGUUGGACGGUGCUGGNNNNNNNNNNNNNNNNNNNNNNNNNNNNNNNNNNNNNNNNNNNNNNNNNNNNNNNNNNNNNNNNNNNNNNNNNNNNNNNNNNNNNNNNNNNNNNNNNNNNNNNNNNNNNNNNNNNNNNNNNNNNNNNNNNNNNNNNNNNNNNNNNNNNNNNNNNNNNNNNNNNNNNNNNNNNNNNNNNNNNNNNNNNNNNNNNNNNNNNNNNNNNNNNNNNNNNNNNNNNNNNNNNNNNNNNNNNNNNNNNNNNNNNNNNNNNNNNNNNNNNNNNNNNNNNNNNNNNNNNNNNNNNNNNNNNNNNNNNNNNNNNNNNNNNNNNNNNNNNNNNNNNNNNNNNNNNNNNNNNNNNNNNNNNNNNNNNNNNNNNNNNNNNNNNNNNNNNNNNNNNNNNNNNNNNNNNNNNNNNNNNNNNNNNNNNNNNNNNNNNNNNNNNNNNNNNNNNNNNNNNNNNNNNNNNNNNNNNNNNNNNNNNNNNNNNNNNNNNNNNNNNNNNNNNNNNNNNNNNNNNNNNNNNNNNNNNNNNNNNNCCGGGGCUGGGCCCGGUGGGCCGCGGUGGCAGGGACGGCGCAGGGCAGACGCGUGGCGGCACGAGGUUAGCGCAGGAGGCGGCGGAGCUGAUGUGGUGGCCUCCGAUUGGCCAGAGUGAGGUGGCCGGCGGUAGUGGGCAUGUCCGGUGCAGCGCGGACGCGUCCGGAUGCGAGGAGGAUGAAGUAGACUAGGGUUUCGUUUGCGAAAAUGGAAGGGGAGGCCUUUAUAUAGAUAGAGGGAGUUAGGAGAGUCCAAAUGAGGUGUGGUUUUGCCCACACGAUCGUGAUCCAAUGAAGGAGAGCAUGGAGGGGGCUUAGAUGGGUUAGUGGGCUAUUUUGGAGGGUUGCUGGGCUGUAAAGAGAAGGGGGUUUCACGGUUAACUCGGUUAACCGUUGGGGCAUCAAACGAUCUCCAAAUGGAACGAAAUUUGACAUGCGGUCUACCGGUGAUAUACCAAGACCACUCAGCAAAUCUCGUCCCAUUCCGAGAAUUUUUUCUGCGGCUCACAAAACGAGAUCUGGGAGGUGCCGCGGGCGCGUGCGAGUGUGGUUGGGCUCAAAACAGACAACGGAGAGAACCGGGGGAACCCGAACGGAUGCAAGUUUUGAAAAACAUGCAGAUGAAAUGCAGAUGAUGACAUGGCAAGAUGCAACACACAAGCAACUGGCAACGACGGUGAAUAACUGGAAGACACCUGGCGCAUCAGUCUCAGGGCGUUACACCUGCGCACCCACAAACGACUGGCUUGGCGUCGCCCUAUCCCGGCGCCGUCCACUCCCAUGGAGUGCGCGGCCUUUAGAGAAUCUCCAGCCGGUCGGCCCCACAAGGCGCCGAAAAAGAGCGGCCUGGUGGUGAGCCGGUGGUAUACUCGGCGCUCGGGCCGGUUGGGCACCAAGUCAUCGCCCCAGGUCGCCCCCAGGCGCCAAUUUCGGCCCAGUGUUCGUCCCAAUUGUGUCCAAAAACGGCCCGAUAUCUGCGUGAAUUGACCCAUAUUCGGCGCGGUUCGGCGUGUUUCGGUGUGAAUUUUCGCAUACAAAUAGCAAACAAUUAGUUCGUCACAUAGUUCCGCAUGGUUCGGCGUGUUUUGGCGUGUUUCAUCACAUAAAUCAAAUAGUUCAACAAAUAGUUCAAUACAAAUUAUAUAUUUUAACAAAUAAAAACUCAAGUUUCAUUACACGUCAUUCCCGCGUCACCCUGGCCUCGCCCUUGAGCCUCCAUAGGUGCUCCACCAGAUCGUGUUGCAGUUCUUGAUGCACCUGUGGGUCUCGGAUCUCCUGACGCAUAUUGAGAAAGUCAGUCCAGGUUGCCGGUAGCUGGUGAUCAACUUGGGCAAGAGGACCCUGCCUGUAAUAUGGUUCAGUGUCAAAGACUGGCUCUUCCUGCUCGCUCUCAAUGAUCAUGUUAUGCAAGAUGACACAGCAAGUCAUGAUCUCCCAUAUUUGAUCUUUCGAUCAAGCCUGGGCAGGGAACCGGACAACAGCAAAUCGAGAUUGGAGCACACCAAAUGCCCGCUCGACAUCCUUCCUGCAAGCCUCCUGAACCUUCACAAACCAGGCGUUCUUGCCUCCUGGCACAUGGUUCGAGAUGGUCUUCACAAAUGUCGACCAUCUCAGAUAGAUGCCAUCAGCUAGAUAGUACCCCUUGUUGUAGUGCCGUCCAUUGACCUCGAAGUUCACCGGAGGAGAAUGACCUUCAACAAGCUUGGCAAAGACAAGGGAGCACUGCAGGACGUUGAUAUCAUUGUGAGUUCCUGGCAUCCCAAAGAAAGAGUGUCAAAUCCAGAGGUCCUGUGUGGCCACUGCCUCAAGUACCACACUGCAACCGCCUUUGGCGCCUUUGUACAACCCCUGCCAAGCAAAUGGACAGUUCUUCCAUUUCCAAUGCAUGCAGUCAAUGCUUCCAGACAUCCCAGGAAAUCCUCUUGCUGCAUUCUGUGCCAGGAUCCAAGCAGUGUCUUCCGCAUUGGGUGUUCACAAGUAUUGCGGUCCAAACACUGCCACCACUGCCCUGCAGAACUUGUAGAAACACUAAAUGGUGGUGGACUCGGCCAUGCGCCCAUAGUCGUCGAGUGAAUAACCGGGAGCUCCGUAUGCAAGCAUCCUCAUAGUUGUCGUGCACUUCUGGAUUGAGGUGAAUCCAAGUGUGCCGGUGCAAUGCAUCUUGCACUUGAAGUAGCUGUCGAACUCCCAGAUGGAAUUCACAAUCCCGAGGAAAAGCUUUCGGCUCAUCCGAUAACGGCGCCAAAAUGUUUUCUCACCGUGCAAUGGAGCGUCGGCGAAGUAGUCCGAGUAGAGCAUGCAGUAGCCUUCCGGACGAUGCCGGUUCUUUUCUUUCACCCGCCCAGGCACCGAGCCACCUCGCCGCGGCUUUCACUGCUCAUGAGUAGGCCACGAGGGCGGCGAGCACCAUGAGAUGCUCCUGCUCCUGGACGUCGGCUUCGGCUUCCUCCUCCAGCAACGCCGCGAGCGCCUCCUCAUCUUAGGAGUCCAUCGCCGGGCCGGGCAAAUCACCGAACACCUUGCGGGAGGUGGGCGCAAACCCGCCAGUGUGCAGGCCCUGCGCGGCCGAAAGGCCGAAAAAGUUGCCCGGACGGCGGCGGAGAGGCUGCCUCGGUGAAACCUCUUUUUUUCCCGAUGGGAAAUGAUCUAUCUAGCUGCGGUGGGCGGUGGACGGCGCCGGGAUCGGCAGGGUGGCGNNNNNNNNNNNNNNNNNNNNNNNNNNNNNNNNNNNNNNNNNNNNNNNNNNNNNNNNNNNNNNNNNNNNNNNNNNNNNNNNNNNNNNNNNNNNNNNNNNNNNNNNNNNNNNNNNNNNNNNNNNNNNNNNNNNNNNNNNNNNNNNNNNNNNNNNNNNNNNNNNNNNNNNNNNNNNNNNNNNNNNNNNNNNNNNNNNNNNNNNNNNNNNNNNNNNNNNNNNNNNNNNNNNNNNNNNNNNNNNNNNNNNNNNNNNNNNNNNNNNNNNNNNNNNNNNNNNNNNNNNNNNCCUAACAAUGUGGCCCUAGGAGCACUUUUCCCUUGCGCCGGAGCCCCCGAGCGCCCCCCAGUGCGCCAGGUUCGGCCUGCGAUCGCCGGGCGCAAAAACGGAUCAAGCCGGUGAAAUUCGGCGUCUUGGGGGCGCGACUGGGGCGUUUUUUGGGGACCGGCGCGGAAAAAACGCCUGGGAAGGGCCUCUUGGGGGCGCGGCUGGGGAUGCUCUUAGACUAGAGGACGCCAUGGGUGCCUUGGUGCUCCCCUGCCAUGGACCCGAUCUGGCUGCGAACUCGCCGCCCCGUGCUUCGGAUCCAGCCGAUCCCGUGCCGCUCAUCCCCUCCUGCCACGGCUCGCGUUGACCUUGAGGAGCCUAGCGUCUCGGCUAGCGGCGGCCCACUAGUGGGGUGGGUCAAGGCUAACUGACUCGCCCCAGCCUACUACGCCAUAGCCAGCCUAGCACGCGAGGCUCUCGCCGGCUAGAUCGAGGGGAUACUUCCUUGUUUGUCAGUCAGCCUAACUGGCUCGACGACCAUCAAAACCCUCCUCCUCCUCGAGGACUCCGGCUCUCUUUGUUACCUUCCCAUCAUGAUGGGUUAAUUCUUUUUUUUUUCCUCUGAUUCUCAUGUCUGGUGAGAAUCUGGGGGACUCGCCCGCAGAUCCCUCUCUGCUCCUCAUUGUUCUCUCCUAUGUAUUUGCAGUCUGAUAUUUUUGAGGAGUCUAAUUGAUAUUAUGGAUAAUUUGCAAUUGUAUAUAAACCGAUGAGUAUCAGUUUAGAGGAGCGAUAUGGGACAAAAAAAAUCAAACGGAAAUGCACGGCCAGACAGAGUUUGCGUGCGUGAUGGGUGGACUGAAACUCUGUUGAGGUGACCAGGGUUGAAUACCAAGAAAUAUAGGGUCCUUUUUUGUAAAACCGAAGCGCUUCUCAGGUAAACACUUAAAAAGGGAGGGCGGGUUAAAUUCUCAUAAACGGAGGGUUUUUUCUGCAAAAAGACCGGCGAUGUACGAUCAGAAGCAAUCGCUGGUUGGUCUAUUAGUAGGUAGAGAUUUAUAAUCUUUUCCCCUCACUUCUGUUUUUGGUUCCAUUUUUCUUUAUAUUUUAAAACAAAAUAGAAACCAAAAAUGGAAUUGUAUUGUUCUUACCUACUCCCUCCGUUCACAAAUAUAGGAUGUUCUAACUUUUUUUGUGAAUCAGAUGUAUACAAACACUUUUUAAGGUGUUUGUUCACUCAUUUCACUCUAUAUAUCGUCCAUAAUGAAAUAUCCAAAUUAUCUUAUAUUUUCUUAUAUUUUAGUACUAUUUGAAUUUCAACAUUUUUCCACGUUGUAUGAACAUAUAUUCAAAUCCUCCAAAAAAAUAUUCAGAUGUGUAUGUAUAUUUCUUGAAAUAUAUGAACUCUUAAACAUAAAUACAUAAACAUAAGGUAUUAUAACCUCACAAAAAGAAAAACGUAAGGUAUUAUACUAUUAUGUAGGAAUAGUUGUUAAAUACAUGAUGGAUAUUUUAUUUCAUCGGUGUGAACAUUUCAAAAUAUAUUUAAACUUCUAAAAAUACACAAAUAUAACUAUAUGUGUAUAUUUUUUUAAAUAUGUGAUUAAGAUUGAUUUAUAUGUAUGAAUAUUUAUAAGGACAUACAUGAAUAUUUCGUUUUUAGAAUAUAAAUGUUAUCGUUGUAUGUCUACUAUCUACCACUUCCUCUGUAUCAAAAUAUACGAAUUUUUUGACACUGUCAUAGUGUCCAAAAAACAUAUUAUAUUUGGAUACGAAGGAAGUACUACUUAUAAAAGCACGAAUUUGGUGAAUAUGAUCUGAGCCAUCUAACCAUCUAUAUCUAACGUCUCACGCUGCUCCCAUGAUGUAUCUACCACAUCAUCAAUAAUUUAGAAACAUGUUAAUUGCAUUAAUUUAAUUUUGAAACGAUAUUAUUUAUAUUAAACAUAAAUUAUGAUUAAUUCUGAAAAUAAUAUUGUUGUCACGGUUACUAGUUUUCCUUUGAGAAAUCUACAUGAUUACUAGUGGCAUGAAAAUUAAGCACUCGCCUCCUACAUGCAAGUGCAACCGGGGGUGUUGGGGCAUUUGCAUUGACUUUCAUGCAUUUUCCAUGUGUUUUUCCUCUUAGUUUUUUUCAUGGUUUCUAUUUCAUUUCCAUGUUUCCUAACUUUUAUGUUUUCCCCUUUUUAUGUUACUACGUUUUAUUUUAUUUUUCAUUUUAAUUUACGGUUCCUUUCCUUUUUCUAUUCUUAAAGAAAUUAAACAUUUUCAAACAAAUACCCUGAUAUUUUUUAAAAUACAUGAACACUUUUCAAGAUUAUUGGAUGUUUAAAAAGUGUGAUUAUUUUUUUAAUAUUGGAGUGCUAACAUAUUUGAUAAUGUGAGCCCCUUCUCAAAAGUUACACGGGCUUUUUCCAAAAACAUGAAAAACUAUUUUUAAUUACAAGUUAUUCGCUAUAUCAUAUCUAUUAUAUCUAAAUAGGAGCCCCCACUUCCUGAUUUCUCUUGACAUGAAACUUAUCCACAUCAACAAUCAACAUGCAGUUUCCACCUCAACAGAUCUACCAUCUCAGCAAAAAAAGAAAAUUCUUUUUCAACGAAACGAAUUGUGAGAUUUUAAUCUCGGUAGUUGUCCCUCUUCGUCUUCUAAUACUAACGAGAUAGUAUAUCAAUCGCAACCGAGACGUAUCUUGCUAACGCUAAUCUUCUCCCAUGAUUUUAUUACGCUUUUCAUUAAUUUAUAUCACAUGCGUUGUUUGUGUCUUUCCCACUCUCCAAACCAUCCCUUGGCUUUCUACAAAUGUGCACAUAAAAGUUCACCUCUUCGUUGCCCCAAUGGUUGGCGUUUCACCCGACCUUGUAAACCCUCGCCACCGUCGGAUUCGAUAGCGAGGAGAUGCGACCACCCAACCAUUGAUGGAUUCGAUGUCGAGGAGACGCGCCAACACCAUAUGCAACCUAAAUCCACCUCCCUUCUCUUGUACUAUCUUCUAUCACUGAUGGAUUCGAUGGCGCGGAGCUACGCCAGGACCAUAUGCAACUAAGCUCUACCGCCUUCACCUCUUUGAUGCCCCGAUCGCAAUGAUGUAGAUUUCGACCACACCGACCCCUGCCACCACCAGAUUCGAUGGUUAUUCUCAUAACAAGGGCUGAGAAGGAUGGUCCAAUUUGAGGCCCUAUUCCGCAUUUGGUCGAUGGAGGUGUGUCGAUCCUUUAGUAUGCAGAUGACACAGUCAUUUUUAUGGAACAUGACCUUCAAAAAGCGAUAAAUAGAAAGUUGACUGUGUGUCUUCUUGAGUAACUUUCGGGUCUACAAUUAAUUUUCAUAAAAGUGAGCUCUUCUGUUUUUAUAAGGCCAAAGAGGAGAGGCUCCGUAGAGGAAUGUUUCUUGUUGUGAGGUGGAUCCCUUUUGUUUACAUACCUCAGAAUUUUCAUUCAUCACUGUAAGCUCGCCAACAAGGAAAGAAAAAGAAUUGAAGACUAUUUUGAAAAGAAGCUCAACAGUUGGAAGGAUAGAUUUUUGUCAUGUGGAGGACAACUUACUCUCAUCAAUGUUGUUCUUACGAACCUAACGGUGUUCAUGCUCUCCUUUUUUGAGGUACCUAAAGUGGUGUUAUAAAAAGCUAGACUUUUACAGAUCUAGGUUCUUGCAAUGCAAGGAGUGAAUACUUAAGUAUAAAAGGGGCGGAGCAGCUCCGCGUUCCAAGCUCGGGGCUCGUCAAUCUGGUGCUCGACAUUGUAAAGGCGGUACGCCCCAUUGUUGAGAACCUUGAUGAUGAUGAAGGGACCUUCCCAAGUAGGAGCAAGCUUGUGUGGCUUUUGCUGAUCCACUCGGAGAACCAAGUCUCCCUCUUGGAAGGCUCGACUCUUCACGUUUUUAGCAUGGAAGCAACGCAAGUCCUGCUGAUAAAUGGUUGAUCGGAUAAAGGCAAUCUCUCUUUCUUCUUCUAGAAGGUCGAUUGCGUCCUGUCGGGCUUGCUCUUCUUCAGCUUCAGUGUAGAGUUUGACCCGAGGUGCGUUGUGAAGCAGGUCACUCGGCAAGACUGCUUCAGCUCCGUAGACCAAGAAGAAUGGAGUUCUCCCAGUCGACCGAUUAGGUCUGGUCCUUAAUCCCCAAAGUACUGACGGAAGUUCGUCGACCCAUGCACCAGCUACGUGCAUGAGAUCGCGCAUUAGUCGGGGUUUCAUCCCUUUGAGAAUUAACCAUUUGCUCGUUAUUCCUGUCCAUUCGACUGGGGGUGAGCGACUGAAGCAUAGUCGACUCAUGUGCCCUGAGACGUGCAGAAGGCUCUGAAUUCCUCGGAAUCGAAGUUCGACCCAUUAUCAGUGAUGAUGCUAUGGGGAACUCCAUAUCUGAAUAUCAACUCCCUGAUGAAGCUGACAGCAGUGCCGGCAUCAAGAUUCUUGAUGGGUUUAGCUUCAAUCCACUUAGUGAACUUGUCGACUGCCACCAGCACAUGGGUGAAGCCGGUUCUGCCUGUUCUUAGUGGUCCAACCAUAUCCAAUCCCCAUACAGCGAAAGGCCAGACGAGUGGGAUGGUCUUCAAGGCUGAGGCGGGCUUGUGUGACAUAUUGGAGUAAAAUUGACAUCCUUCACACUUGUCGACCAUCUCCUUUGCCAUUUCAUUUGCUCUCGGCCAAUAAAAUCCCGCUCGGUAUGCUUUAGCCACAAUGGUCCGAGAAGACGCAUGAUGGCCAUAGGUUCUCGAGUGGAUAUCGUCAAGGAUUAUCCGACCUUCUUCUGGCGUUAUACAUUUUUGACCAACUCCAGUCGCGCUUUCUCUGUACAGCUGUCCCUUUAUCACGGUAAAGGCUUUGGAUCGGCGGACGAUUUGUCGAGCCUCUCCUUCAUCCUCUGGGAGCUCUUUCCUUAAGAUAUACGCGAUGUACGGCACUAUCCAGUCGGGAGUGAUGACCAAUGCUUCCAUGAUCAGGUCGACCACCGCUGGAACUUCUACUUCAGUCGGAUCUGUGACACUUUUUGGCUGCGAAGCUUCUUCGGUAAAAGGAUCUUCCUGAACUGAUGGAGUAUGGAUAUGUUCCAAGGACACAUCACUGGGAAUGGCUUCUCUCUUGGAACCUAUCUUUGCCAAAUCAUCAGCCGCUUGAUUCUUCAGUCGGGGUAUAUGAUGGAGCUCUAACCCUUCAAAUUUCUUCUCCAGCUUUCUUACCGUAUUGCAGUAACCAGUCAUGGUUGGGCUUCUAACAUCCCACUCCUUCAUCACCUGAUUCACCACCAAAUCUGAAUCACCAUAAACCAUAAGGCGACGGACGUCGAGUGAAAUGGCCAUGCGCAACCCAUACUAAAGUGCUUCGUAUUCUACUUCAUUGUUGGAGGAAUCAAAGUGGAUCUGGAGCACAUAUCUGAGCUUAUCUCCUCGGGGGGAAACCAAUACUACCUCAGCACCGGAACCAUUCAACAUCUUAGAACCGUCAAAGAACAUGGUCCAGUGCUCCGAGUGAACUUGAGUAGUUGUUGUUCAAUCCACUCGGCGAUGAAAUCUGCUACUGCUUGGGACUUAAUGGCUUUCUUUGCCUCAAACUUGAUAUCAAGGGGAAGGAGUUCAAUCGCCCACUUUGCCACUCGACCAGUUGCAUCUCUGUUGUGCAAAAUCUCUAAAAAUGGGGCAUCCUGACGACUGUAAUGGAAUGAUCAAAGAAAUAAUGAGCAACCUUCUUCGUGGUCAUGUAAAUCCCAUAUACAAGCUUCUGAUAAUGAGGGUAUCUUUGCUUCGAUGGGGUCAAUACUUCGGAAAGAUAAUAUACUGGGCGCUGAACUUUGAAGGCUUUCCCUUCUUCUUCCCGCUCGACCGUAAGUACUGUACUGACGACUUGUCCUGUGGCUGCAAUGUAAAGCAGCAGAGGCUCUUUGCUGAUUGGAGCAGCAAGCACCGGCUGGGUGGAGAGCAGAGCUUUUAAUUCUGCAAAUGUUGCAUCAGCUUCUGGAGUCCACUCGAACUUGUGUGACUUCUUCAUCAGUCGGUAAAGAGGCAAUGCCUUUUCACCGAGGCGAGAGAUGAAUCGACUUAACGCAGCCAAGCAUCUAGUAAGUUUCUGGACAUCGUGCACACGCACGGGGCGUUUCAUUGGGAGUGUAGUGCCAACUUUUUUUGGGUUGGCGUGGAUUCCUCGUUCGGAAACAAGAAAACCAAGUAACUUUCCGCCAGGAACUCCGAAUGUGCACUUUGAUGGAUUAAGCUUGAUAUCAUACCUCCUGAGAUUGGCAAAUGUUUCAGCGAGGUCAAUCAACUGGUCGGAACCCUUCCGUGAUUUGACCACAAUAUCAUCCAUGUAUGCUUCCAUGUUCCGACCGAUUUGAGUGAGUAAACACUUCUGAAUCAUCCUCAUGAAUGUGGCUCCGGCAUUCUUGAGGCCGAAUGGCAUGGUGACAUAGCAGAAGCAUCCGAAUGGGGUGAUAAAAGCUGUUUUGAUCUCGUCGGGUCCAUAUAGACGGAUCUGAUGAUAACCGGAAUAGGCAUCUAAAAAAGACAGGCGCUCACAUCCCGCAGUCGAGUCGACUAUUUGGUCGAUGCGGGGGAGAGGAAAAUGAUCUUUCGGGCAGGCCCGAUUGAUAUGUUUGAAAUCAAUGCACAUGCGAAGUGACUUGUCCUUCUUGGGGACCAUGACAACAUUGGCAAGCCACUCGGAGUGGUAAAUCUCUUGGAUAAACUCUGCUGCUAAGAGCCGAGCCACCUCCUUGCCAAUGGCUUUUCUCUUCUGGAUGGCGGACCGUCAAAGAUGUUCCUUGACAGGAUUCACCUUUGAGUUGAUGCAUAGAUGAUGCUCAGCCAGCCCCCUGGGAACACCCGGCAUGUCAGCAGGCUUCCAUGCGAAGAUGUCCCAGUUCUCACGGAGGAACUGGAUGAGCGCUUCUUCCUAUUUGGAGUCGAGUGUUGUUGAGAUAUGAGUCGGAGCAGCAUUGGGGUCGGUCGGGUGGAUGUGAAUCGGCUUUGUCUCACCAGACAACUGAAACGCUGAUUCUAUAGCAGGCUUCUUGGCUCGCAACAAAUCACUCGGAUCUGUAGUUUUCUGGUAUUCCUGCAGCUCUACCACUGCCAUCUGAGCAUCGGCGAUCUUUGAGCCCUUCUGAAAGCACACUUCUGCCUUUUUCCGAUUGUCAGUGAUGGUGAUCACACCUUUGGGACCAGGCAUCUUCAAUUUGAGGUACACAUAACAUGGUCGAGCCAUGAAUCGUGCAUAAGCUGGCCUGCCUAAAAUGACCUGAUAAGCACUCUGGAAAUCCACAACUUCAAAUGUUAACUUUUCUUUGCGGAAAUGCUUUGAAUCGCCGAAAACCACAUCAAGAGCAAUUUGGCCGAGUGACUCAGCCUUCUUCCCAGGAAUGACAACAUGGAAACUCAUGUUGCUGGAACUGAGUCUGGACAUCGGAAUGCCCAUUCCCUUCAGCGUCUCCGCAUACAAUAUGUUCAGUCCACUGCCACCGUCCAUCAGAACCUUAGUCAGUCGAGUGCCUUCGGCGACUGGGUCGACCACCAAAGCUUGCCUCCCAGGGGUGGCUAUGUGUGUCAUAUGAUCAGACCGGUCGAAUGUGAUGGCGGUCUGAGACCAUUUCAGAUAACUGGGUGUUGCCGGAGCAACCAUAUUCACUUCCUGGUUGAUAACUUUCAAUCGACUUUUUCUCUCAACAUCAGCAAAAAUCAUCAGGGUGGAAUUGACAUGGGGGUAUCCUUCAUCACUGUCCUCUUUGUCCUCAAUCUUGUCCGACUCCAUUUCUUUAUCCUUGGGCUGUUUCCCUUGAAACUGCUGGAUUAAGUGCCGGCACUGGCGAGUGGUAUGUUUCGGGUAAAUGAAGUUACCCUCUUCAUCUUUCUUCGUGUGGAUGUGGCAUGGCAAAUCCAUCACGUCGUUUCCUUCUUUGUCCUUCACCUUCUUGGGGUUCCAAGAUCCUUUGGGCUUCCCUUUAAACUUGCCCUGAGUCACGGCCAAGGCUUCUCCAGGAGCAGCUGGCUCGGCUUUCCGCUUCUGCUUCUGACUGGAGUUCCCUUUUUCCGACUGGCUCGGCUUGUACUUGCCACUCCUGAGUCGAUCCUCUUCUUCACCAUUGGCAUAUUUGGUGGCAAUCUCCAUCAUUCGACUCAGGGUUAUGUCUCCGGUCCGACCAAACUUCAAACUUAACUCUCUGUUCUUAACGCCUUCCUUGAAGGCACAGACUGCUUGGUGAUCAGAUACGUUCUCCAUCGUAUGAUGCAAUGUGAUCCACCUCUGGAUGUAAUCCCUCAGGGUUUCAUUCGACUUUUGUACGCAAACCUGCAGCUCUGUCAGACCUGUAGGUCGUUUGCAUGUUCCUUCAAAUGUCCUGACAAACACUCGGGCAAGAUCUUCCCAAGUGUAAAUGCUGCUAGGUGCCAACUAAUUCAGCCAGGCUCUGGCCGAGCCCUCCAACAUAAGCGGUAAGUGUUUCAUGGCCACCUCAUCAUUACCACCACCAAUCUGAACAGCCACUCGGUAGUCCUCAAGCCAAGUAUCGGGCUUGGACUCACCAGUGAACUUACUCACCCCAGUCGCUAACCUGAAGUUGGGAGGGAUCACCGCGGCUCUGAUGGCUCUGCUAAAACACUCUGGUCCUGAGACAUGAACUCGGCUGCUGGUGGGCACAUCUCUGUCAUGGCCUUCUCGGUGAGCUCUGUUCCGGUCGACCAGACCUUGCACGAUAAUGGAUCUCGCGUCAAAGCCUGGUUCUCUGGGGUUGACUGGAACCCUUCGCCCAACACUGUGUUGGCGUCUGUCAUCUUGCUGCCGAGGGGCGUAAGACCCACCCCUUGGGGGGGGGAGUGGGCACUCGACGCCGAUCAUCGCGAUCGAAUCGGUCAUCAUACUGAUCACGUCGACCUCCACGUCCUUCAUGCCGCAGAGGUGAUGUUGGGCUAUGGGCCGACUAGACUAUAUUUACAGCGACGGAUUGACUGUCAAUCCAAUUAUGCGACUGCGAUACAGCUGAAUUUUGAUCUCCUGCUGUCCGAAGCAAAUCUCUAAUCUGCAUCAAGCCUCUGCUAGCCUCUGACUGAGAGGGCUGAAUCGACUCCGCUAUAUGGGCUGCAGCUGCCAGAUUCUGAAUUGGGGUUCGAUAUACCUGAGUCGGUGGCGGAAAGAGUUGACGUCGACUGGAGUCUAGAACUCGUUACCGCGCGCGCUCGUCGAGUGCUCGCUGGAGGUUCUCUAGUCGAGUGCGCUCAGCCAAGUUGGCCAAACGCGUGUCCUCCAAGGCGCGAGCCUCGGGGGUUUCUCCUAUGAUAGGAGUAUACAGAGCAUCCAUGUUCCGGCGGCGAAGAUCUUCUCUUUGCAGCGAAGUGAGUGGCUCGGGUUGAUACUCCUCGUGGACCUAAGCUGGGUCGCCUCUGCCGUCCCCUCCGUCGGUGCAGGGGAAGCCGGGAGGACUACGAGGCCCAUUGACCAUCAGGACCUCAGCCGCUGGAUCACUGUUGUCACACUCGGAUGCAGUCUCUACAGAGCCAGUCGACAGAUCGAACAUGCCGUAGAGAGAUUUGUUGGGCUCAAUCGCCGCGACUUGGGUGGUGGCCGAUUGGCGAGCCACUGCGUGUCUCAGCCACCGCUGAAGCCUCGACCGACCAUAGCGCUUGCGCUGGCGGGAGACAGGGAGGGAGGACGACGCAGGGGUCGACCGAUACGGGGCCGACGGUUGCCACAGCAGGACGCCGCGGACACAUGCGCAAAAGUGUGUCGCCCCACGGGCUGGGAGCGCGUCGAUGUCGAGUGGAGCCUUCUGGAGCCAAGCGGAGUCGUCGGCGAUGAACGUGAGCGCGCCGAGACGGAUCUCGCAGCCCUCCACUAAAACUCCGCCAGAAACCAUGGUGAAGGCGAUCGGAACAAUUGCAACUUCUCCAAUAAGUCACUAAGACACCUGCCCCACGGUGGGCGCCAACUGUCGUGGUUCUAAGCCUGACAGUAGAAUAGGGGUAGGUAUGGAGAGGCAAGAUCCUAGCUAUGGAGUAGUUGUAUACGCAAGGGAGUUACGAGUUCAGGCCCUUCUCGGAGGAAGUAACAGCCCUACGUCUCGGAGCCCGGAGGCGGUUGACUGGAUUAUAUGCGUGUGAGUUACAGGGGUGCGAACCCUUCUGCCUGUGGAGGGGGGUGGCUUAUAUAGAGUGCGCCAGGACCCCAGCCAGCCCACGUAACGGAGGGUUCAAUGUACAUAAAGGCCUGGCGUUACUAGUAACACCUUACAUAAAGUGCUAUCAUGGCCAUAAAGAUUACUUAAUAACAAACCGUUUGGGUGCAGAGUGACCCUAGAUCUCCUGGUGGUCGAGUGAGUCUUCAUGGUCGAGUGUCUUCGAGUCCGUCAAGUGGAAUCCUUCCAGGUCGACUGAAAGGCAGUUUCUUCUAGAGAUGUCCUUGGGGAGGGUACCUUGGACAGGUCCAUGACCCUACCCUAGGUACAUGGCUUCAUCACCCACCUUGACUACACGACCAGCCCAGGCACCCCAGCAAACACCCCUUGCCUAGCCCUUGCCGCUCUCCUCAAGUCGCUCACGCGCAUGGCACACCACCUGAAUCUAAACCCAAUUUUUAUUCUCCCGCCACAUAUACUGUUGUAUUGUGUUGAAAUAUGCUAAAGUAUUACUGUUGAAAUAUGCUAUUUUUGCUGCUGAAAUGCUAUUCUUUGUGAUUACUAUUUAUCUAAUGUUUCGCUAUUUAAAUAUGAUGAUUAUGCUAUUGUUGUAAUAUGCUCUAGUUUUUCUUUGAAAUACGGUUGUUUUCAUUGACUGCUCCCGCUGCUUAGAUAUGCCGCUUUUGUCGCUGGUAUUGUUGUAAUAUGAUCUAGUUUUUCUUUGUUUCUAUGUAAGAUCAAUGACAACUUGAAUACUUAUGGACACAAGUUGAAUACUUAUGAACAUCUAGAUGUGGUUGAGCAAAACUAUUUUCCUUUCAUGUUUAUGCUUGAUUAAGUCACUUAGAUACACAAGUUACUUAUGGACAUCUAGAUGUGUUUGAGGAAAACUUUUUUCCUUUCCUGUUUAUGCUUGAGUAAGUCACUUAGAGCCACUCCAAUGCAGUGACCCAAAUGGAUGUGGAUUUUGUCCAUUUGCGUCGGCUGAGCGGACAGUCAUGUCAGUUUUUUCAUUUGGGUAUGUCGGUAUGCCCAAAGCGGACAGACACAGUUUGGACAGUCCAUCCGACAUUUUGUCAAACACCUGAUGGGCCGCCGCCUUGAGCUGCUCGUUGACACUCGCCCCGAGCUCUUGCCGUCGCGCCGGCGUCCCGCCGCCGCCGCUUGCUGCACCCGCCAGCAAGCUCACAUGCUGGUCACGCUCGCGUUGCCCGCCUGCGCGCACCGUGCUCGCGUCUUGUUGUGCCCGCCAAUGAGCUCACGUCCUGGUCGCACCCCAUGCCAGUGUCGAAGCCAUGGGGUCGUGCACUCACGUGUGUUCUGGCUACGGAGGUGCGCCGCCAUGGCCGCCAUGAGUGCCCGCAUCUCCUCCAUGCCCGACACGGCCGCCAUGGUCGCCGUUGUCGACAGCUAGCGCGUGCUCCCGCUGGAGAACGCCAUGGGCACCCACGAAGCAAGCAAGCAAGCCAGCCAUGAGGAGGCACGCAUCACCGGCUUGGUGCGAGCUGCAGCCAAAGAGGAGGCCGCGCAGGGACUUGGAUUUGGUCGGGGUAGAGGGUCAUGCAGGUCGGCCAUGAGGAGGAGGUCGCGCGUACCGGCUUGCAUGCUCUGUUCACCGGCGAGUUGCAGCCAAAGAGAAGGCCGCACAACGACAAGGAGCUCGCCAAGGAGGAGGCUGCGGCACUCACCGGUGCCGGCGUUGCCCCGGCUCCGGCACUUCCCGUCGGCUAGCACAACGGAGGUUGCCCCGGCGGCUGCUUCAUGUCCCGUGGCGUGGUUGGUGGUCUGGAGCAUAGUGGACGGAUGGGUGAGAGAAGAGAAAGGAAAGCACGUGAGGCCAACUCCACCGCAAGACCCUAAAUGGACGUCCGUUUCAUUCGGAUUUUGUCCGUUUGAGGAAGUAAUGAGUGCCAAAACGAACAUGCAUGUCCGGGUGCAGGUGAAGGCGCCCAGCGCGCCGACCGACCCCAAACUGUCCGCCUGGACCACGUGCCCACGCCUGCGCCUCGCCUGCCCGCGAGCUCGUGCUCUCGCCUUGCCGGUGCGCCCGCGCGGCCACCUCGGGGCGGCCAGGGCGCGGGCACGUGCUGCCGCUGCAGCUCCCGCAGCUGCGCCUCAUAGUCCCACCCGCCGAACGCNNNNNNNNNNNNNNNNNNNNNNNNNNNNNNNNNNNNNNNNNNNNNNNNNNNNNNNNNNNNNNNNNNNNNNNNNNNNNNNNNNNNNNNNNNNNNNNNNNNNNNNNNNNNNNNNNNNNNNNNNNNNNNNNNNNNNNNNNNNNNNNNNNNNNNNNNNNNNNNNNNNNNNNNNNNNNNNNNNNNNNNNNNNNNNNNNNNNNNNNNNNNNNNNNNNNNNNNNNNNNNNNNNNNNNNNNNNNNNNNNNNNNNNNNNNNNNNNNNNNNNNNNNNNNNNNNNNNNNNNNNNNNNNNNNNNNNNNNNNNNNNNNNNNNNNNNNNNNNNNNNNNNNNNNNNNNNNNNNNNNNNNNNNNNNNNNNNNNNNNNNNNNNNNNNNNNNNNNNNNNNNNNNNNNNNNNNNNNNNNNNNNNNNNNNNNNNNNNNNNNNNNNNNNNNNNNNNNNNNNNNNNNNNNNNNNNNNNNNNNNNNNNNNNNNNNNNNNNNNNNNNNNNNNNNNNNNNNNNNNNNNNNNNNNNNACGCCAUGGCGCCGGCCGCGGAGGAGGAGUUGGCCGCCCCUCCAGCCACCAAGCGUGCGCCUACCUGGUCGGGCCAGUGCUGCAACCACCAGCACCCGCACGCGCUCGCCUCAUGCGGCGUCGCCGUCGUCGGCCCCCGCUCGCCCCGCCCGUGCCGCUCCGGGCUCAACGCCCUAGCUUUGCGCCCGGUGCUCCUGCCUUGCCGGAGCUCGUCGUGUAGGCUAGCGGCAGCACGUAGCGGGCAUCCAUGGCCGGGAAAAAGGAGAAAAAGGAGGAGAGAGGGGAUGGGUGGGCAGAGAUUCCUUUUUAUUUGUAUGACAGGCGGGCCACACUGCACAUGCAAGCGGACCGAGGCGGACGAGGAGUGGCCAGAGAGUGUCCGUCUGUGUCCGCUUCGGCCCCAAAACGAGACCAACUUUGGUCCAAAGAUGGGGUGAAACGGACACGAAACAGACGAGAAAGAAAAAUGGGGUCUGCCGCUGGGCCGUCUGAUUUGUCCUUUUUACCCCAAACAGACAGGGACGGA